GGGUGGAACAUGAUAAUUGUAUCACUGGAAGUAAUUAUCGAGAAGUCUCGGACGUGGAGGGAUAAUUUCGCUUUUAGGACAGUACUCUGUAUGCCUCGAACCACAAGCAUUUUCUAAUUUUUUUUUACAAUAUUUAUUAUUUAAUUUUUUUCUCAGAAUUUUUUUAAAACUGAAAUUAAAUUUUCGAAUUAUUUUUAAAGAAUAUUUUAAUAAAAGAUCAGAAAGACUUUUCAACAAUAGGGGUACAUUUUUUAGACACUUUUGUGUAAAUGUCUCAUUUAUGCCAAAAUUUUUUUAAGAAAAUCUACUAACGGCUAAAUAUAAAGCUCAAUCCAAUUAAAAAUAAAAAAUUUUUCUACUCAACUAACCCCACGCAACCUACUCGGCCUAAUUACAAAUAGAAAAAUAAAUAAAUAAAAAAAUUGAUCACCAUCUCCUUUUCUCCUCCGCCGUCGCCGCAGUCGACAAGGUAGGGUUCCAACGGCCAGAGUUCGGCUGCGAGGAUCUCGCAGGGACCGUAGAGGCAUAUGAUCGCCACGUAUCCCUUCGCCACAGAUCGCUGGAGGAGUGGGUGCCAAAUAUCAAGGCGGUUCCACAUAUAGCGACCCCAAAUAUAGCAACACUUUUAAAAGUGUCGGUAAUUUAGCCAGCAGCACUUUUUUUGAUCUGUACCGAUAAUUAAUAGUAUCGCUAUACACCGUUUUUAUUGUAGUCAUAUUAGUAAAAAAAAGUGAAAUUGGAUAGCCAUUUCAAAAUGGCAUAUUAUUUUUUUUAGCUUAAUAUUUAACAUUUUUGUUUUUUGCCAAAUUGAAAUAUCUGAAAAUGGAAUUAAUUAAUUUUUCCCUGAAAUGGAAUACUAGACUUAGGGGUUGUUUGGUUUGAUGUAAAUCCGGAAAAAAAAGUUCUUGGUGGAAAAAAAAUUUUCGUAGAAAAAAAAUUUUAUGUAGUGUUUUGUUUGGUUUGUAGGAAAUGAAAAAUAAUUUUCCAUCACGGUUGUUUGGUUGAAAGGAAAAAAAAUAUAUAUUAAUAAAUAUUAUUAUAUAUUUCUUUUUAUUAUAUAUAUAUUUUAUAUUAUUAAUAUAUAAUUAUUAUCAUAUUGCAUAUAUUAGUAUUAUAGUUUAUAUUUAUAAAUAAAAUAUAUUUAAAAUAUAUUAUGUAAUAAUUAAAUAUGUAAAAUAAUAUAUAAUACUAUAAAAUAAGUUAUUAGAUAUUUAUAAAUAAUAUGUAUAAAUAAAUAAAAUAUUAUAUAAUAAAUAUAUUUAUAUUAAAAAUGAAAUACCAUAUUUAAAAUAUAUAUAUAUAUACUAUUAUAUUAUAUUAUAAUAUAGAGAGAGAGAGAGAGAGAGAGAGAGAGGAGUUAGCUAUGAUAACUUUACAAGUAUCACCAUCAUGGUGAUUAGCGUUUUAAAGCCAUUGGAUCUAGCUUUUUUGAUAUUAAUAGCCUUGGAAUUUAAACACUAUUCCACCUCACCACCACUACACCACCUCCACCAAUCAUCUCAACCUCACAUUCUCAUCCAAGAGCCUAAAAAACACAAAGGUAUCACCUCAUGAUACUUUUACAAGUAUUCUAAGCCUAUUAUAUAUAUAAUUAAUAUAUAUUAUAUUAUAUUAUAAUAUAGAGUCCGCUAUAUACUAUCGAUAGUACCAAGCUCUUGGUACUAUUGAGUUUUCUACCGUUUAGAUUUACCCUUUGAUCAUUUCCACCGUUCGAUUAUACUAUUAAACCAAACCCUCACUCAACCUAGAGGGCACACUAUCAAUUUAACCGAACCACCAUUAUUAACCGCACAUGUUCUUAUCUAACUGGCUGAAAACCAAUAGUACCAAUGGUUUGAUACUAUUGGAUAGUAUAAGUUGCAUAUAUCUAUAAUUAUAUAUAUAUAUAUAUAUAUAUAUAUAUAUAUAUAUAUAUAUAUAUAUAUUUUAUAUAUAUAUACUAGUAGUAUAUAUAUAUGAUAUGAGAGAGAGUGGACCCCUCUCUCUCUCGCGGUCCACGAGGUGGUCUUGCGGUCUACGAGGUGGGGUAUUCUCAUGGACCGCGCCUGCUAAACCCCGCCCACGCUCCAACGCCGCGCUUUUUCGAAAAACGUCAUUUUUCCUUGAAUUCGUAAAAGAAAUAUUUGAAAAAAAAAAAUUUUACGGCAAACAAACACUCGGAAACAAGCACUCGGAAAUUUAUUUUUUUACCGAAAAUAAUUUUCGGAAUAAUUUUACAACGAAGCAAACAGGCCCUUAAUUUAUCUUGCUUAUCACACUCAUAAGAGAUAGCUACGCGUGAAAACGAAAGGAGGGCCAAAAUAAGAACCAAUUAUUUAUAGAUAGCUAUAAUAUAAUACAAGGAGCUCAUAUCAAAUCACUAUACAAAUGUGGGGAUUGGACGCGCACUUAAUUUAUUCCAAUUAAGAAUUUAAUUCUGCAGUCGAAAUAAAAUUGAAAAAAAAAUAAAAAAAUAGAAAAGUUUGUUGAAUAACAAAGACUUGGAAUAACAAUAAGGAUGAAUUAGAGGGAAUUGGCACAAUUAAUUGACCUGAAUUGAUUCGAUAUGGAACGGAUUAAACGUGGAAUGUGGCGUUUUAUCAACCCCAAAUCCAAACUUACCAGCUCGGAUUCAUCCAAAACCCGCCCCCAAUCCAUCUCGAUCUUGCUCUAUCUAGAUUUCGAUGAUAAAGCUGUUUAGUAAUUUCCGAUCAUUAGUUAGAUAUUAUAUCAAAUGGUUGUUGUGGCAGUGUGGUAGCUUUUAUAUAUCACGAACACUUCUAUAUAUAAGUCUCGCGCAUCCGAUGUAGACACGCCAUGUACGUACGCGUGUUCGACACAAGUCCAUUAGGACCAUUACCUAUACCAUGAAAAAAUAUUCUUAUUUCUAUCUUUUAUACAUAUAUAAUGUAAGAUGAAAUAUAUUUUGGCUCUUCAUAAAUGCAUAUAAUUAUUUUUUAGACAACAUAAAUAAAUUAUAUAGAAUAGAACAUUUCUUUUCUUAAAAUAUAUAAAAUAUCAAUAAAAAUUUUAUUAACUCUCAUUCGUCUGAAAAAUAUAAUAAUAUUUUACUAAUAUUAAUAUUUUAUAUAUAAUAAAUACAUAUUAGUAUAUUAAUAAUAUUAUAUUUUAGUAGUCAUGUUUGUAUUCUAAUUUUUUUGAAGUCAUAGAAUCGUCGUAUCCAAAUCGUAUCUAUACUUCGUAUCUCGUGUUCGUGUCAGUGACAUCAAGGGUUGGAAUGUGCAUGACCAAUUUCAACCCGACUAGAUAUGGGUUGGAUUUUUGAAACCUACAUUUCUGUAAGGAACCGGACUUCUAAAAUUAUAAAGUUACGGUGUACAUUUGAUUUGAAAGCCAUUUAAAUGGUUCCGGUGAGGUUGCGGUGAAAUAUAAUAUACCGGAUUUUUAAAUAUAAAAAUAAAAAUAAAUAAAAAUAGUAUGAGAUAAUAUUUUUAUUGGAUUUGGAGAAGUGAAAUAUGAGUUAGAAACGACCUGUAAUGAAAUCGGAGUGAAAACAGAAGAUUUAGAAUUUUCUGUGAGAAACGGAGCAGAUAAAUUAGCAGAAAAUGCACAGUGUCAAAAAAUUAUGAAAACUGGAGGGUAGAUUAGAAUUAUUUUUAUGAUGCUAGAUUUAAAGUUUCAUGUCAUUCUGACACCCGGAAGGUGAAAAAUAAAAUCCGAUAGUGAUCUGAUAAAGAUUAUAAUUCGGUGCAGCUUUCGGUGACCAAAUAGGGUCGAAACUGAAAGAUUAAAAUUUCUUUGGACUUAUUAAGUAAAACCGAGCCUGCCUGUCAAAUUUGAGCGCAAACGGACGUUCAGAAGGGCUCUGGCGAAAAAUGUCAGUUUUAAACUGCUGAAGUGAAUAGUAUUUUGGGGGAGUUUACUUGGAGGUGAAGUUUCCUCCUAUAUAUAUAUAUAUAAGGGUGUUAUGACAUUUCUCUCAUUCCUCUCUACUUGAGCCAACAUAAGAAAAAUCUCUCUCUCUCUCUCUCUAGGAUUGGCUCCAAAGUGUAGAGUUUGCUAGAGAAAAGCUUGCUUAAAAGUGAAGCUUUCUUUUUCUUCACCAUUGGCUGGAAGAGAGCUUGGGUUUGAGAGGUAAGAUUUGAUAGCAACAAUGAUAGAUUGCUAAAUAGUGAUUUGUAUGCCUUAGAAAUAGAUUUAGUGAAACUCCUAGAUGCUAAACAGAUGGUUGAUGCUCGAAUUUAGAGAUCAAAUGAUGAAUUCUUGCAUAGUUGCAUCUUAGGGCAUCAAAAGAGGAGUUUUUGCUUGUGAGGGGUUUUGAUUUAAAUUGAUCAUGUAUAAACCUAAUUGCUAGGUAAACGAACGCGUUGGCGAAGUCGGUUCGGCGAUUCGUUGAGCCUACGCGAAGUUAUUAAAGAAACGGACAUUUAGGCUUCGUUUCCGCCUGGAGGGCCGAGGCGACGUCGUAAAAUCAUGGAAUCGGAUUUGAGGCACCGUAACAACAAAACAAAGACCCUUUUUGCCCGAGGCUGCGAAGCGAUGCACGGUCGGUGCGCAAUUGCAAGUUCCGGCGGAACCGAGCACCGGAUGCGGCGGGAGGCCGAUUGCAAGUAUCGACAAGCAAUCGAAAUGCACUAACAGGUGGGUUGUGCUCACCGAAGUUAUUAGCUCACUUCCAUGUCGAAGCGAAAGUGUAAUUCUCGUUGAUGCAUAUAAUGUAAAUGCUAAACGAUACAUAUGAUGUAAAUACUUGAUUAUGCAUAUAAUGUAAAUGCAUGAUGACAUGAGGCAUAUACUAAAUGAUGUUGACAUAUCAUGAGAUGCUAGUUGAUAUAUAUACAUGAUAGGGUAUUGGAUAGUCGCAUUUCUAUUCUUGCAUGAUCCAUAGUAGUGUAGCAACAUGAGUUGGCACUUGAGUUAGGAUGUAUGAGAAUAGUGGAAUGGUGACAUAGAACUCUAUAGAGAUAAGUUAAACAAUAGCUUGAUCUUGUAUUGAUGAAUAUGAUGAUAUAUGACUAGUAUAGUUGAGCCAUUGCAUCGUGACGAGUGGCAUGUGAAUCAAGUAAACAACUUGACGAGUGGCAUUAGAAUUUAGUGUUAAAAGAAUGCUUGUGACAUGAUGACUUAGGGGAUAGACAAGUCUCCCUAUUUGACACCUUGCAUGAGAUCGGUGUGACAUUGAUGACCCUAGAGACAGGGUAUCCUCAGUGCACGAGGAUUGGAUCAUACUCACAUUGUCUGUUCAGCGCUUGUGGCGGUCGCCCCGCACAAGUAGUGCGAGCUCCGGAGUCUUGGCACGUGAAACGAUUGGGAUAGCCUAUGUAGGGUCCCAAGGGAUAGCCUAUGUGGGGUCCCGCAGACAGUCCCUCGGGGGUUCGAGUCCCCUUCCAUAGACGGAUUUAAGAUGUGAGUUGAGGGCACGCCUAUGGGCCAGCCAGAGGAUUGGAUAAUAAACUCAUGAGAAUUAUGUGCAUUGAGCAUAGUGAGUCGUAGCUGAACCCCAGUUGAGUGGAUAUUAGGCUGAGGCGCAAGUGAGACGUCCUUCGCCUUGAGCCUGAUUUUGCGCAAUAAUCCGCGGAUGAUUGACUCAAGACCGAGUCGGAUGGAUAGCUUCGUAAAGGUAGAUAAAAAAACCUUGUGAGCAAACAGUAAAGGUCAAUGAAACCUUAUGAUCGGAAUGAUACUUGACCUGAAUCUAAGAUAGAAGAAAACUUAGAAGUCAAUUAGACGAGCUAUGGAUAGCAGGAUUGAAAGUAGUAUCAAUUGAACUACUAGUUGGCUAUAUAGCUGCAUUAUUGCAUGAUUUUCAUAUUGCAUAUUGCGAGGCAUGUUAUUUGUUAGUUGCAUAAAUACAUGAUGAUAUAUAUAUCUGUGGAUGUUUUUGGACUAACAUAUUACAGUGCCUCCUUCGGACCUGGUGGGUCGAGCUCUUCCCUUGGGUAGCCGUACCCACUGGGAACUAUAUUUAUAUAGUUCUCACCCCCGUGUGGUUUUGGGGGUUACAGGUUUGCACGUGAGCGGCGCGGCGGCGUAAGGAGAGGGCGUAUCUCCGUAGAUAGCGCCUUACCACCGAGACCAGAGAUAGCAGUACCCCAAAGUGGCCUAGCUUAGGGGUUAGAGAUGUAAGAAAUAAACUUGUAAUAAUUAUGAUUGUAUUUGGAAGUUGAGGAUGUAUAGCAAAUAAUGUAAUAUAAAUGUGAAUGCUUGUAAUAGCAUAGGAUUUAUAUUGUUUGAUACCUUCCUUAUGCAAUCGUUGUCUGAAUAUUGUUCCUGUUUGGAACCUCUUGUAAUUGUAAUGAUUGCGACGCCUUGGACGUACAGGGGAGACUCUGUCCGUUUGGCGGUCUGUCGGCGUACCCGAACCGACCAAAUAGGCGGACUCGGGACGUGACAAUUUCCAUCUAUAACAAGGAUUGAGGGAUGAGGACACAUGCAAUCUUAUGGUGUCCCUGUUAUAAGAUCAUCUAAAUAGAUCUUGCAAUGUCAUUUUUUGUCCUUUAAAAUUGUAGCUGCGGCUAUUAGAAUUGAUUCUGAUUGAAAAUCUGAAAUUUUUAUAACGAUGACAGCAAGAUGAAGUGACUUUCCUGAGCAGCAAAAAAAGAAAAAAAAAAAGAAGAAAAAGACAACGAGCCGGCUCGCAAGCUAGUGUAGAGAUUAGGGCUGGCAUAUGAGCGAGCCGGCUCGUGUUCAACUCGCAUUCGGCUUGAUAUUCGGUUUGCUCGAUCUUGACUCAAAAUUAAAUAAACCGAACUUAAACAGAAAAAAAAACAUCAAAUUUAUUUCAAGCCGUUUUACUGGGCUCACUCAAAUAUAUAACAUAUAUAUAUAGAGAAAAUUUCUUCAAUACCCUUCUAAAAAUAUUUAAUUUCAUAAAUACCCCUUUAAAAUUUGAAAUAUUAUGUGUACCCCCUUAAAUAUUUAGUUUCAAAUACUUUAAAUCAUAUUUAACGGAGUAGAUCGUCGAUUCAGAAGCUUCAUCAUUGAAAAUAAUUUAUGAGUAUGAAAACUCUAUACUCAUAAGAAUAUAGUAGUCCUAGCCUGUAUAUAUAUAUAUAUAUAUAUAUAUAUAUAUAGAGAGAGAGAGAGAGAGAGAGAGAGAGAGAGAGAGAGAGAGAGAGAGAGCGCGCGCUAGUCUUCUAUACUAUCUAUAGUACUGGGACUCCGAUACUAUAAUCUCGUUUUCGAUCUUAAGGUGUUCAAAUCAACGAUCCACACCGUUAAAACUGAUCUAGGGUAUUUAAAGUUUUUAGAAAUAAAAUUUUAUAUUUUUUUGAUAUAGUUUACUUUAUGAUCAAAAUAUUUCAAAAUUGUCAAUUUUCAAUUGCUACUAUGGCGAAUUUGGAAUUUAAAAGAGUAGAAGAAUCUAAAUUUCUUCAAAUUUUGAUAGAAAAUACUUUAAACUAUCUAGAUUAAGGUUAACAUUUUUUAUCUUAAAUUUAAAAGUCCUAUGCUCAAAUUUUAAAGAUUAUUCAAUUUCCACCGUCCAUUUUGACAUAAUUUAUUUACUAAGUAAACGAUGUCGAAAAAAAUUAAAAUAUUAUUUCUAAGAACUUCAUAUACCCUAAAUCAUAUUUAACAGUGUGGAUCAUUAAUUUGAACACCGUAAGAUCGAAAACAAGACUAUAGUAUCGAAGCUCCGGUACUAUAGAUAGUAUAGUAACCUAUAUAUAUAUAUAGAGAGAGAGCAAGGCCGCUGUGCUCUCAGGAGCACGGAGGCCUCCGUGCUCCUGAGCUGUUUUCGAUGAUGAAAUUUUCGAUUCGACGAUCGGCUCCGUUAGAUCUAGCGCAUUUGAAGUUUGUAGAAAAUAAUUUUUGCGAUUUUUCGAUAUCAUUUACCUAGUGAUCGAAAGGAUUCAAAAUCUAUAAUUUUUAAUGGUUGAUAUCUGUCGUUUUCAAGUUUAACGGUGUAGAAGUAUUCAAAUUAGAUGAAAUUUUAAUACAAAAUUCUUUAUACUAUCUACAACAAGAUCAAUAUUUCUGAUCGAAAAUUUUAAUGCUAUAUCACUAUUUUUUAUAGAAUUUUUAUUUUCAGCCGUUAAAAAUUAUUGAUUUUGAAUCCUUUCGAUUGCUAGGUUAAUGAUAUCGAAAAAUCGCAAAAAUUAUUUUCUAGAAACUUCAAAUAAUCUAGAUCAAGGUCUAACGGAAGUCGAUGCUCGUCGUUCGGAAACUCCAUCAUCGAACGGUUAGGUUGAGGAGGCAUCCGUGCUCUUGAGAAACACAGCCAGCUUGACUCUUCUCUCUCGUCUCUCAUUUCCUUUUAUAUCUAUAUUUAUAAUCUAUAUAUAGAGAGAGAGAGACCUGAGAGACGUGUCUUCAAUCUAUUCGGAUCCUGCUCGGAGAAGAGGAGAGUGGUAGUGGUAUUAAUAUCUUUAUGCACGGAGGCCUGCCGUGUUUCAAGUUUGUUUUCGAAUGUGCGACAUCAAGGUCAACGAGCGGCUCGUUAGGAUUGAUUACACUUUAAAAGUAUUGAAAACUAAAUUUUAUAAUUUUUCGGCAUCAUUUGCCUAGUGAUCAGAAACGGUCUCAAAUGAUAACAAUUUUAAUAGGUAGAUGUGAUGCCGUAUUGUGAAUUUAACGGUGUAAAACAAUCAAAUUUUGAUGAAUUUUAUGUCGCAAAGAUUCUUUUCAUAUUUAGAGCAUAAGAUCAGUAUCCCCUGAUCUUAAUUCAAGUUUUUAUCCACUUUUUUUGGAUUUUUAUUUUCACCUCGUUGAUUUUUAGACCUUGCUCAGUUUGUAGGUUCAAGAUGACGUUAAAAAUUGAUUAAAUUUAGUUUCUACAAUUGCUGUUAAUAGUGUGUAGAUCAAUGUACUAAUGGUGAUCGCGCAUCGUCGAUUGGAAGCCGCUCAUUGAAACAAUUGGAGCACGGAGGCCUCGAUGCUCGAUUAGUAUACCAGCCUAACUAUAUAGUAUAUUAUAUAUAUAUAUAUAUAUAUAUAUAUAUAUAUAGAGUCCGGCAACUAUACUCUUAUGAGUAUAGAGCCUAUUGUACUCAUAAGUUUUUGGCCGUUAGAUCUAGCCUUUAAUCAUUUUCACCCGUUAGAUUAUACUAUUCAACCAACCACCCACUCAACCCUAGGGGGCCCACUAUCAACUUAACCGUAACCACUUUCAUUCUUACCGCACAUUUUUUUAUCUAAAUGGUCGAAAACUUAUGAGUACAAAGGGCUCUAUAUAUAUAGAGUUUGACUGGGCUACUAUCGGUAGUAAACUGCUCGGUUUACUACCGAUUUAUUUUUGAUGAUAGAGCUUCCAAAUCGACGAUCGGCACAGUUGAACAUGAUCUAGACCAUUUAAAUUAUCUAAAAAUCAAAUUUUAUGAUUUUUUGGCAUCACCAACUGAACGAUCAAAUGGUCACAAAAUCUAUAAUUUUAAUGGCCGAUAUGGUGCGUUUGCUUGUUUAACGGUAUAAAAGAGUUCAAAUCAACUUAAUUUUUGUUAAAAAAUUCUUUAAACUAUUUAAAAUAAGGUCUAGACUCUAGAUCUCAAAUAUAAAAAUUGCAUCAUCACUUUUUGAAGGAUAUUCAUUUCCAGCCAUUCAUUUUUCUGUUCACUUGAUGGACAAGAGAACAAUAUCGAAAAUGUGUGUAAUUUGAUUUUCAGAUAGUUUAAAUAGUUUAGAUCAUGUUUAACGGUGUCGAUCAUCAAUUUUGAAGCUCUAUCAUCGAAAACAAAUCGGUAGUAAACCGAACCGUUUACUACCGAUAGUAUUCUAGCAAAACUCUCUCUAUGAGUUUGAUUGGGCUACUAUCGGUAGUAAACUACUCAGUUUAUCGGUAGUAAACUACUCAGUUUACUACCGAUUUGUUUUUGAUGAUAAAGCUUCCAAAUCGACGAUUGGCACUGUUGAACAUGAUCUAGACCAUUUAAAUUAUCUAGAAAUCAAAUUUCGUUUAUUGGGUAAAUUUGCUAGCCAACAAAAUCAAACCAACAAAAACCUACUGUAAUUACUCUCUCUCGCUCUCUUUCACUUGCUCGCAUAAUCACUUUUCCUAAAUUAUUUUUCUUAGCGUUAUGAAAUUGUAUCAUGCAUUUUUUUGUAUGUUAAACUAUUAGGCAUAUUUCUUAUAUCAAAUUUUAAGUAAUGUUUCAUAAAAUUUAAACUAUAGAUUGUAAGAUGUUAAAAUUUUCAAGCGACUCGUUUAGAACUCGAGCUCGCUCGACUCAAAAUUAGGCUUGCUCGAGCUUAAGUCGAAUUAAUUUUAAGUUGAGCCUGAACCUAAAUGUAGGUUCAAAAUUAUGUCCAAUCCAAGCUUGAGCUGAGAUAAGUUCACUCAAGUUCGGCUCAUUUCCACCUCCCAGUAGAGAUAAGCUUGCAGGGUUUUAAAUAAUUGAAAAAGUUAAUAGUGCUUCUAGAAAUUUUUGUCCAGCAAUAGUUUUGUAGAGGCUUCAAUUAAAUGAAUCAAACAAAGAUCUUUUUUUGGCUAUGUUACAAACUGUAUAGUACCUUUAAUUAAGUGUUGUCUUACUAGUGUUAUAUACAUUAGAAGAAAUAUGCUAUGCUAUGCUACUUUUUCUAAUACACUUCUCUUUUCAACAGAAGCAAAAGCUCAUUUACUAUUUAAUUAUUAAUUUGUUUGCGUAUCGCAAUAUGCAAUUGCUCUUGUACGGGCCAUUUGCCCUCGCGGCACUUAACCGUAUACAAUUUCUGUGUUACCGACCGUCCCUAGAGCAAGUGGCAAAGGGCUUGGUGGUUGGUACCUGAGAUCCAAAUUCGAAUCCUAGUUGAUUCACAUUUUCAGCUAAGUUUAUUUCUAAAUGAAAUAAAUGAAGCGGAUAGCGUGCUACCUAUCUCUCAAAAAAAAAAAAAGAAGAAGAAAUCUGUGUUAACAUACGACGAAAUUUGAAAUUGGAGCUUCUGCAUCAAAGUAUGCAUAUAGCAAACAAGCACAAGUUUCUAUUCCUAGGUUAAGAAUCACAUUUUAGUUUUUGUACCGAGUUCUAAAUUUUUUUCGUUUGCUAAUGCUUAAUAAGAGGUACGAGUCUAUAACUGAAACCAGGAGCAAAAAUAGGUAUGCAAUUUCUCCUGUUGUGGGGUAUCACAACGCUUAAUUAUCAUAAUCUGAUUAGAAUUAUUAGUCCCAUACUUGGAUAAAGUCCUAAUAUAUUGGUUUAUAUCGUUCUUAAUUAAUUUAAUCUUUAUACAACUAAAUCUCCUCUCUGAGAUACGCAUUAAAAUAAUAUAUUCCCUUCCUCUCUCAGCUGUUGAUGUUACAUGCCUUUGCAAUUUUGCGCAAGGGUUUGUAGCAUGGCCUUGCACCUAUUCUCGAUCCCUCCAAGGCACGGGACUUGACGCCGGAGCAACACUUAGGCUUAGUUUAGUUCGAUAAUGAAUAAGAACUGCUUAUUUCAGAGAGAGAUAAAGUUCAGAUAUAAGCAUGAAAUAUAAGUGAUAAAGUUCAGAUAUAAGCAUAAAUAUAAGUUUUUGUUUGGAUGAAAAUUAUGCUAUUUCUGAGAAUAAAAUAAAUAGUGUUUGUAUGUUAGAUUGGAAUGGCAAAAAUAAAAAAAAAAUUAUAAUUUUCAAUUAAUAAUAUUUUUUUAUCUAAUUAAUUAAUAUUAAAAUAUUAGUUAAAACUAAUUUAGUAAAUUAAAAAUUUUAUUAGCCAUGAAUAUUGUAUAAAAUUAUGAAAAAAAGAUAUUCAUAGAAACAUCCUGUCUCUUCAGAUUCCUCUCCCUCUAAAAGUGACAUAACAUAGGAAAGGUACGUGAACUAACUCAUUGUCGGAAUACUAAAUCUGAGAUUGAGAAAUAUAAAUGAGAGAAAUAAUAUUUUUAAGUGGGAAAUUGAAGCUUCCGAAUUUGUCACUGAUCAUCUAAUUGUUAGACAAUAUUACUAUCUUUAGAAGAGAUAUAUCGCGCGGUUUGGAUUGAUUUAUUUGGUUUUGGUAAAAAUACUUCUAUUUAGUUUAAAUCGUCUUGAAUUAAUUACUAAAAAUAAGAUAUAAUCAUGAUUAAUUUAAUGUUAAAAAGCAUUAACCUAAGAUAAUAAUAUAAUAUAAUUAAUAUCUCUCAUUAUUUCAUUAUUAUUUAAAAUUAACUAAUACAUAAUAUUUUCCUUCUACUUCUAAGUUCUAACCUUGGUUGCUAAUUAAGAUAGGAACAAGGGACUGUCAUACACACAAUAAGAAUUAGGUAUUAAAAUCAUUAAAUGAAGAUAUAAAUAAUGGCCUAGUGUCUUAUACUGCAAAUUAAUACAUUAAACUUUUCAUUUGUGUGCUAUUCAAAAAAUUAAAUAUCUUAUUUAAUAUAUAUAUAAAAAAAUAUAAAAGCGAAUGAAUUUGGGAAUCUAGUUUACUUAACUUUACUUUAAUAAAAAAAUUGAGCCAAUGAAUAUUCUCUCCAAAAAAAAAAAAAGGUCGAGCCAAAAUAUACGUACCAAAUUUGGUAUAAAUAUAAUACAAAUGCAUAUAUAGAGAAGAAGCCAUGAGCAUGGUGUCUUGAGAGGUAAUACAAACAAGAACAAUUAGAUAACGACGUUGGAGACAACAAUAGAGACAUGCCAACCUGUGGAAAACCCUAAUUUCAUUUACCCAAAAAUGACCGUGGUCGAUCACUAUGUCAAAGUCAUAUAUGAACAAUAAUGGAGGAACCGUCGUAAUAAUAUAUGCUGUGGAAUUAAUAUUAUACAUUAUUUAGGCGCAUUAUGCAAAUUCUGCAGCGACAUCAAAAUAUUUGGGACGUUAAUUGAUGGAAUGUGCUAAAGUUGAAAAUUUUACCCACUAAUUGCUAUCGCCUUAAUUUUAUUGGUGACAAAUUAUGAUGAUGGGACCAUGAUAACUACAAAGCUACAUACCUGAUGUUGCCCAAGUUCUCCAAUGAAAACCAAGUAAGUUAAUGCAUUUAUAUACACUAAUUUGCCCCUAAAUAGACAGUUUUGAAGAGGCCCCUUAACCAUCUUUUAUUUUUUAUUGACACAUUUUAACUUAAUUACUAAUACUUUUUUGUAGUUGAGUUAUUUUAAUUAGUUAAAUUAUUUUUUAAAACCUAUUGGCUCUAUUAGCUGUUAGUUGCAGCUGUUAAUCAUCCUAUAUUUCUCUAUAUAUGGGAUUAAAUUUAAUGGAAUCAUCAAUAAACUCUAGUUUAAUUGAUUAUAGGAAAGAAAUUAAGUUUUGGGGCCCUUCAAUACAUCAUGACAUACAGACGAGGGGUUCCUUAUAUAUCAUAGAGUCAGUUUUUAAAAUUUUUAAAAUUCCAUUGUUCCUCGCCGAAUUAUUUUUGUUGAUGUAUAAUUAAGCACUACUUUAUUUAAUAGAGCAUUAAGCUAAAGAAUUUAGCAUUUUAUAACCUAACUGUAAUGAGGAUAAAUUUCACGACUAUUCCGAAGUUGCUAGAAACGAAAGUUUACAGUUUGAUGCUGAGAAAAUCACAAGCAAUCUUAGUUUUAUACAGUUCGUACACCUGAAUAAUUGCAACUAGACCCAACAUAUCCAUCCAAGGGUCAUUCUCUUUCACAUUAGUUUUAUCAUUUUUUUUAAAAAAAAAUACUGAAAUCCAAGAAGGGUUGUUCACAAACCCUAGCGGUGAGUGUUUCAAUCGGAGGAUGGAGAAUUAUAAUCUUAUUACAAAUUUUUAUGGGGUAUAGAUUUAGCAUUUCCCGUUGUAACGGAGUUGAAUGUAGUGGAGGAGAUCAAUAUGUCACAAAUAUAUAUGAGGUUAAUUUCUUGUGAAAUUUAAAAAGAAAAAAAAUGUAGCUAGGUUUCUAUAUUCUACCUUAUCUAAUUAGUAUGAAAUUUCCCCCCUAUUUGUGUAGUUUAGUUUGUUCCAAUUAAUUAGUUUCAAUCUAAUAUACGUUUAACUGUAUUUAUAAUGUUUUCAAACAAAAAGAUUUUCAAGUUACUCAAAAAGACACAUAUAAUAUAUGUUGGUCAAAAAGACAUAUAUAAUUAAUUUAGAAAACUAAGUGUACUGGAUCAUGAUGCUGCAUAAGAAACAAAUCUAGCCAUUGAAAGAAUCUAUUAAUUUGUGGGCAUUGCAUUUGAUACUCUUCCUCUACGCCAAAUGUUUAGGUGGUGUAUUGUGAAACAUUUUCCUGUGGAAAAAAUAUAUAUAUUCAUGAAAAUGCUUUUUCGAUUAAAAAGUCAAAUUCCUUUUCGUAGCGUGAGUCAAUGAAAUACCACAACUAAUUAAUUCACCUUGUAAAUCACUAUGGACCCUCUAUUUUAUGCAUCUUAUCCAAUUUUUGAAUAUUUUUUAACAGGUGUGUUACAAGCACUUAUUAGGAGAACAUACCCUUCUAUAGUAAAGACCUUGGAGAUAGAUGAUUAAUUAUAAACACAUCAAUUCAAUGGAAAACAAGAAAACUUUUAUACUUGCAAAAUGCUCCUGCUGAAGAUAACCAUGGUUAAAUAUUAAAGAUGCCCAAUAAUGGAGGAAGUGUCAUGAUCAUAAAAAUUGAAUGAGCUAACACUCGAACCUUCUUAGGUGAAUUAUGUAAUGGCGAUCGAGGGACAUGAAGAAUAGUUAGGUACAAUAAUUGUUAUGCAAGGUAUAGCUUGCAUGUUGAUUAAUUGCAUCAAAUUUUCAAAUGUAAUCAAUUAAAGGGAGAUAUAAUUAAUUAAGAUUUCUGUGCGGCGCCUACAGGACUAAUUAAAAAAAUAAAGAAAAAAAAUCACAGAACAUAAUUGUUUCAUAGAUUCAUAAGUUGAGGGGAGUAAUGGCGAUGGGGAAACUUUAGACACUAGAGGCAACCACACUGUCGUAUGCAAAUUUAACCCUACAAAUUGAAUUUUUUUUGUUUGCUAGUAUGCAAGGCAUUUAUUAAUAUUUUGUCUAGUAGUUUGAAGGCUUAUUCUGUGGAGAAACACCUAGUAAUUACGAAAUCCGAGGACCAUUUCAAAAUAGUUAUUUGAGGUCAUUCGAGAGUUAUACUUCGUUGGAAACUGCAUGUCAAUUUUGGUCUUAUCUCACUUAAUUAACAUCGCUCUAGAGUCGUCCAAACUACAUGUCAUCUUACGUAACAUCUCUCUCUCUCUCUCUCUCUCUCUCUCUGUGUGGGGGUUCAGUUGCCUUUCUAUAUGUUCAGCAAAGAGAACCAAAUUAAGAAAAGAGAACUAGCAAUCUACGUAAACAAAUACUAGAUUUUUGUUUGGUUAGUUGUGAGAAGAAAGGUGCUCACUGUGAACAAUCUGCUGAAACGUGGGUGGUGUGGCGAGGAGACUUGUGUUUUCUGUUUGAACGUGGGUGAGACCAUUGAUCACCUCUUCAUGGGUUGUGAUGACACCAAAGCGCUGCUGGAGGUUUUUCUUCCAAAUAAAUCAGGCCUGCGUAAUUGUAUUUCUGCUAGUCUGCUCUGGAAGCUAAGUAGAAGAAAAGAGGGAGCGAUUGGAGGAAAAGAGUCAACAAUCGCCACAACAUGGUGGGUCGUUUGGUUGGAGCGCAAUAGACGAAUCUUCCAGGAAACCAAACGAACGACGAGUUUAUUAGCGUCUGAGAUCCGCUCGCUUAGAAACAUCUAGGAUCUUUUUUGUUAUAUAUAUAUAUAUAUAUAUAUAUAUAUAUAUAUAUAUAUAUAUAUAUAUAUAUAUAUAUAUAUAUAUAUAUAUAUAUAUAUGAUUCUUGCCAAUACCUUCACAGGCCAUAAAGAAGGAAAGGAAUAUUCCCUAUCGGAUCAUCAGAUGCUUAAAAUAUGCUUGUGUGACGAGUUGAGGUGACAUUUUGGAUAUAUUUUUAAUCAAAUUGGGCAACAUUUUGUAUCAUGCUAUGGGCAAAAGAAGAGCACAUCGAAUUUGAAAUCUCAAUAUGUUUGACGCCGUCGUGAAUGCCAGGUAUAUAUGUCUUUUUUUUUUUUUUUCCCCAUUUUUUUUUGCUACGCUUUUAAGGAAAUACCCAUGCGGCUAAUUAAUUAGUGGAAAUUAUUAUAAGGUCUCUCCGUUAAUUAAUAAAUGGAGGACCUUUUUCUCGUAUUAAAAAAUGGAAAGAUUGGUCUCUUACGACUCACAUCAAAUGUCACCCAUUGGAACAAGAAAUCGACCCGAGUGUUUGAUUCUUUUCUUUUCCAUGCUUUAUCAUUGAAAACCCACUAAUUCGGGGGCUAAUUACAACAUUGUUUGUAGGUCCCUAAACAGUUAUUAGUUGUUUCUGCAGUGUUUUCAUAUGAUUUACUAUUCUUAAAACUCUGAAAAUUCAUUUUAACUUUUGCUACUACCAAAACUUUACUUUUGAUUCACAAGUGUUUUAUUUUUAAUGGGUGCAUUAGGGAUGUCAAUGGGUAUGGAACUAUAGAUAUCCGAAAUUUUAUCUGAACCCGAACCCGAACCCAAAUGAAACGGAUAUAUCCGAUGCUAAAUGGAUAUGGAUUCGGAUAUGGAUAUCAAAAAUAGAAACCCGACGGAUAUGAAUUCGAAUAUAGAUUUUGACUGCACCCGACCCGAACUCGAACCCGAUCCGAACCCGAAUUUAUUUUGUAUUAUAUAAUAUAUAUACCCGACCCGAACCCGAACCCGACCCGAACCCGAAUUUAUUUUGUAUUAUAUAUAUAUAUGAUGUUAUAUUUGAAUUUGUAUUUUAAAAAUUUAGAUUUAAUAUAAUGUAUUUUGAAAUACUAAAAAGAAAAAUAAUUGUUUCGGGUUCUAAUUUUCGGGUUCGGGUUCGGGUUCGGGUUUCGGAUUUUUGGUCGGAUUCGGGUUUGGAUAUGAAUUUUUAAAAUCNAUGUUUUAAUAUCUUCUUCAAAGUUUUGUCAUUAUUUUAAUGUGGUUGAAAUAAGAUCGAAUUUUUUGCAACUUUGGAUUCGUUUGAAGCAAAAUCUCUCAAAAUUAAGGAAUUAAUUAUAUAUGGUUGCAAUACAUUUGAGUUUUAUUAGUACAAUGGAGGUCGAGGGCUUACCAUGUAAUCUCAUAGGGCUAUGAUGAAAUAUAUCAAUAAACUCUUUUUUCUACAAUUCUUUUGAGAAUUAUCACAACCUCUUAAUUAGCCAUUUUCAUUGAUUUUUGCUUAGUCAUUUACCUUCCAUAAAUUUUCAAAAGAGUUUAAAAAAUGACCAAAAUGAAAAUCACAACAUGGCACAAGCAAUAGCCAGCCACUAACUACACUACAUCGAUCGUACCUUAAGGGACCUUAAGAUAUUUUAAUAUACUUUAUUCUUUAAAUCCAUGAAAUGUGAAAAGUUCUGAAAAAUCUGCAAAAGUUUAAACAAAAAUAAAACAUCCAAAAAAAUCUGUAGAAAGUUUGUACAAAUUCUAAACCUAGUUUUAAACCUUUUGGUGUGUCCAUAAUAAAGUUCCUUAGAAAGUUCAUAAAAAUGCCUCCUCUAUUUAAUUGAACGCACAUUGCCCACGAGGCGUAAGUAGACAGUUCGUAAUCUAGCUGCUUUGCAUCAUCAGAAGUGCUAACAUAGAACUAGAUAGUGGAGUAGUGGGUUUAUAUUAAUUGUGGAGUUCAUGAUAACUAGUUUUUAGGAGCACAUGUGUAGUCGAUGCAGUAGAGAACAUAUAUUGAUCGAGUUGGAUUUUCUAGAUACUCAAAUUUUAUUCUUCUAUGGGAAUUCUUGUUUAUAAGCUUGUAAUUUACCAAGGUUGUGGGUUAUCUUGACCCUUAAGUUUUAUUCUUCUAUUUAGAUGAUUAGAGGAGGGAGAGGAAAGAAGAAAUAUUGGCUCAAUUUCAUUAACGAAUUGAAUUAAACAGAUUAUAAUUAGAGGUCCAAAUUAUAAUUAAGGCUCGGACUCCUACUCCGAUUAUGAUAGAACAUAAUAAGUGCUACCCAUAUCAGUAGUGAUACUCCUCUAAAUAUGUACUUUCUUUUUAUGGAAAGUAAAUCCAACUACAUCGUAUCUGAAAAGAGCAAAUGGAGUAUAUCGAAAAUCAACAAUUAAACAAGCUCCUAGUUUCUUUGAAAUGAAAUGAUAUUUAUGAUUGAAGUUUUUUAUAAAUAGAAUUUCUAAGUUUGACCGCAAAUUCAUAGGUCUAAACAACCUUCUUCGAUUGCCUCGAAAUUGUUUAUCAUGAUCUAAGGUUUUAUAAAUAGGAAUUCUAAGUUUGGCAGCAAAUUCAGAGGUCUAAACAAUCUUUGAUUGCCUCGAAAUUGGUAACGAACUUAGUCAGUCUUUAAUUUCGCACUAUGUUCGACCGUUGCGCGCCGUAGCUUAUACUCCUUGACCUGCGCACAUCGAUACAAAAGUCCCCUUGAUCAAAAACCAUGGGAACAAGAUAUAGUCUUUGAACGUUGAUGGCCUUUCCUGCGUAAGUUCUCGUCAAGUUGAUUGAGCCUGAUCACUUAGCCUCGAUGUCUCUGUCGAAACCAGACCUAACCAAUUACACCCUCAAUUUGGGAAGCUAUUCCCUCAUCAAUCCUUCUUGUGUUCAUGAAAUGGAGAAAAACCGAUGAAGCGUUUUGAGGGUAGUAAUGAGAGUAGAUCGACAUCGGCUUGAUGAGGACAUUGGCAAUGGCGGUGUGGACAAUGAGGAGGAUUGAUCGCAAUCGGCGAGUACGACGAGCAGCGAUGUGAUUGGGAAUCAAACUCUGAUAAUAAUUGUUAGGGUUGGUUGAUUCCUAAUGCUCUUGCAGCUAAUUGGGCCUUUACGAGGUGGUAUUCCUACUUCUAGUUUAUGAGUAAUCAAAUUAACUAUGCUACUCUUAAUUGCUGGCUUAGAUGGGUCGGCAUCAAACAGUUCUACAAGUGGUAUCAGUGCAGGUCAUGGGUUCAAUUGCCGUACGCUACAAAUUUAUGCUCGUGUUUCGGAGGAGGGGAGAUUACUGGCUUAAAUGGGCCAACAUCAAGUAAUUGUGGGAGAUUGGGCCAAAUUACAUUUAAAACGGCAGAAGGCCGAGUAGAGCUGACUCACGUUUCAAGUGUCUAAAGACCGUGUUAGUCAGAGUUACAAUCAAAGCCAGGUGCUAUAUGCAUUUACACUUUAAGUGAAUUAGUUGCGUUGAUCUUUAGUUGCAUUAUUUUUUCUAAUAGCGCGAACUUGUAGAAUUAAUGAUUAGGUCCAACAAUCCUAUAUUAAUUAAUUUAGAAGCACGAUUACAUGCAAUCAUCCUAUUUUAAUGGCCCAAAUAUCAUAGAGUUCUGGUAUUAUAAGGAAUCUUAAUAAAGAACUUUGUGUAAUAAGAGUUAUGGUAGUAAUUAAGAUACUGUUAAGACUAAUACUACAAUUUGUACCAGACACGUUGGCCAAUCCGUAUCGUGAUAUAUUUCUAAUAAAAAUAUUGACCAAGUAUCACUAUAAGAAAAUUAAUAUUUAAGGAUUUUUUUUAUAUUUAACGAUACUUAAAAGCGUCCUAAUAUAGUGUAGUGUCAUAUUUGAAAGAGUCGAUUAAAACAUCGGUAAAUGAAGAGUCGCCACGUAUAUCGUCAAGCAUCAGUAAAAUAUAUUCUAAUGCUUUAAAGUAUCAGAAGUUUUUAAAAUCCUAAUGCUUUGAAGCAUCAAAAAAUUAAAAAUAAUAAUAAAAUUUAUUAUUUAAUAAAUUAAUUUAAUAUAAUAAAAAAUUCAUAUAGUGAUACUUUUUGAAAUGUCGGUAUUUACUAUAUUAUAGAGACGCUUGGAAAUAAAUAUAUGUCAUCCAAAAUAUCUAUCUAGUUCUAGGUGCGGUACAAGAUAGGAAUUAACCAUUAGAUAAAUAUAGGUACCCAUCAAAUAUAGAUUGAAAAUUUAAUCCGCUAAAAAUAUAGUAAUCGAACUCAUGAGGCUUAGAAUUAGUUCUUAUCAUGUUACACGAAAGAUAGAAUUUAUUUAUGAGAAUAUUCAUAUGACAAAAACUUAAUACUUUUUUAUUUUACAAUUAUAGUACAUAGUGUGAAAAAUUACUACAACAAAAACGGUCUAUAGCAACAUUUUUAAAUGUCGGUACAGGUCAAAAAAAAGACUGCCGCCUAAAUUACCGACAUUUUUAAAAACUGUUGCUAUAUGUGGGAUCGCUAGGUAUAUAAUAACAGUUAAAGAGUGUCGCUAUAACCUAACAAAGUGCUGCUAAUUUACAAAUAUUUAUUUAAGCAUUUAGCAGCCGCCGGAACUCUACCUCGUUGGCCGCGGUGGCGAAGGAGGACGAGAGGAAGAGAUCUUCGUUUAGGAUUUCAGUCGAUUGAGUGAGGGGAGAAGGAGAAAUGAUAAUCGAUUUUUCUUCUCUUUUUCUUUUCUGUUUGUAAUCGGGCUGAAUGGGCUGGGUGGGGUGGGUUGAAUAGAAUAACCUUUUAUUUUUUGUUGAAUUGAACUUUAUAUUUAGACAUUAGUAGAUUUUUUUUUAAGUUUUGACAUAAAUUAAAAACUUACACAAAAAUGUUCCAAACAUGUGUCCCUAUAAUCUAAUUCUGUUGUACUGAAUUGAAAUACAAUCUCCCACAAAAUAGCAGAUGGUAGCAACUGCCAUGCUCCUCGAUCGGAGAAAGAACUUAACUAAGAUUUUCUUUGCCUGUACGUUAUUAAUUUCUACUUUACAAAUAUACAUAGCAACUAUAUAUAUAAAGAGAGAGAGGGUUGAGCUGGAAUAUUACUAUCGGUAGUAAACGUGCUCCAUUACCACCUAUUUGUUUUCAAUAAUGGAGCUUCCAAAUCGACGAUUGGUACCGUUGAAAAAUGAUCUAUACUACUUAAAGUAUCUAGAAAUCAAAUUUCAUACUUUUUCAAUAUUAUAUUCUUGUCCAUCAAGUAGGCGUAAAAAUGAACGACUGAAAAUGGCUAUCCUCUAAAAAGUGAUGAUAGGAAUUUUCUAAUCAAGAUCGAGAGUAUAGAUCUUGGUCUAAAUAGUUUAAAUAAUUUUCUUAUCAAAACUCAAUUGAUUUGGAUAGCUUUACACCGUUAAACGAAAAAACGUCUCAUAUCGACCAUUAAAAUUACAAAUUUUGUAAUCCUUUGAUCAUUUGGUCAAUGAUAUCAAAAAGAUUUGAAAUUUGGUUUCCAGAUACUUCAAGCGAUAUAGAUCAUGUUCAAUGGUGUCGAUCAACGAUUUGAAGGUUCUAUCAUCGAAAACAAAUGGGUGGCAACGGAGCCCGUUUACUACCGUUAGCAUUCCAGCUCAACUAUAUAUAUAUAGUGUAGAGCUACUAUGCUAUCAGAAGUAUAGAGGGUUUUAUGCUUCCGACUUUUUGACCCUUGGAUUAAGAAUUGUACGAUUGGGAAGAUUGCGGUCCCCCGUAGGGUUGAGUAGUACCCCUAGGAUUGAGUGAUCCCCACAGUAAUAGAAGUAAUCCAAAGGCUAGAAAUAAUCAAAGAGAUUAAUCUAAGGGCCAAAAAGUCAGAAGCACCGGAUCCUCUGUACUUCCGAUAGCAUAUUAGCUCUACUCUCUCUCUCUCUCUCUCUCCAUAUAUAUAUAUAGAGCUAGGCUGGUAUACUAUCGGUAGCAUGGAGCCCUCCGUGCUACCAAGUUGUACUCAUAAGUUUUUGGCCGUUUGAUCUACCCUUUAAUCAUUUCACCCGUUAUAUUAUACUAUUCAACCAACCACCUACUCAACCCUAGGGGGCCCACUAUCAACCUAACCGUAACCACUUUCAUCCUAUCCGCACAUUUUUUCAUCUGAACGGCCGAAAAGUUAUAAGUACAAAGGGCUCUAUACUCAUAUGAGUAUAAUAGCCCCAGCCUAUAUAUAUAUAUAUAUAGAGAGAGAGAGAGAGAGAGAGAGAGUAGGUCUUGUGUGCUUUUGGGAAUACGGAGGCAUCCGUGCUUCUAUGCCAUUUUCGACGAUGGAGCUUUUGAAGCCAUGAUCUGCUCUAUUAGACUUGAUUUAGUGGAUUUGAAGUACCUAGUGAUCGAAAUGGUUUAAAGUCAACGGCUGAAAAUAAAAAUCUCAUAAAAAAUGACGAUAUAAUACUAAAAUUUUCGAUCAAAGAUAUUGAUCUUGCAGUAAUAGUAUAAAAAAUUUUCUAUAAAAAUUUCGACUGAUUUGAAGUUAAACGUGCAAACGAUAUACGUCAACCAUUAAAAAUUGUUGAUUUUUAAUCCUUUCGAUCACUAGGUAAAUGAUAUCAAAAAUCGUAAAAUUUAUUUUCUAAAUACUUCAAAUAUAUUAGAUCAAGUCUAAUGGAGCAGAUCGUCGAUUCGGAAGCUCUAUUAUCAAAAACAGCUUAGGAGCACAGAGGCCUCCGUACUUCUAACAGCACACAAGACCUACUCUAUAUAUAUAAUUGAGCUCCUAUACUCUUAUGGUAUUAAGUUAUUGGUGUUUGUAAGUUUUCGGUCCAUGGAUUAAGAGAUGUACAGUUAGAAUAAUAGUGGUCAUCAAGGGUUGAGUGUUGGUUGGUUGAGUAAUAUGAUCAAAUAGAUAGAAAUGAUCAAAAGAAUAGCUCUAACGGUAAAAAUUACAAGUANUAUGAUCAAAUAGAUAGAAAUGAUCAAAAGAAUAGCUCUAACGGUAAAAAUUACAAGUACUAAGUGCUUGGUGCUUUUAAAAGCAUCAUAGCCAAUAUAUAUAUAUUUAUAUAUAUAUAUAUAUAUAUAGAGAGAGAGAGAGAGAGAGAGAGAGAGAGAGAGAGAGAGAGUUAAGCUGAAAUGCUAUCAUUAGCAAACAGACUCCGUGGCCACCCUUUUUUUCAAUGAUGAAGCCUGUAAAUCGAUGAUCGACAGUAACUCGCAAAUACCAGGCAAUAUGAGACUCAUCUCACUGACCUUAAUCGAUCUUGUAAGAGAGCCGCGCUUUACCCACAACAGUCAUCAACAUAAGAGUCUCACUCUUUCUGCUGUAUUACGGGACUCAGCCGAGACUCAUCAUACACUUACGACCGGUAAUUAGCUCUGAUAUCAAUUAUGACGCUCCACUUCCUAUGGAUCAUCUAUCUUAAAACUAUUCUAGUCCUAACACACUUAACAAUUUUAAUCUUUUGGGCCUAACUGUCGCCCAAAAUUAUAUAGCCGAGUUAAUAAUUUUUAACCUUAUUAUAUCUUAUAUAUAGGAUUACUUGUUCUCACAUUAAAAAUAUUGAAUUUAAACAUUUACCAACAUUAACUUUUUUAAACAGUAAGAUAAAAUAACACCUUUAUCUUUUAUUAACCAAUGAUUAAUUCUUUUUAUUUUUUAAAAAAUAAAGUACCGAAUUUUUUCUCAAUAUCAAAUCCAUAAAAAUACUCGUCCAUGGGCCUACCUCAUGAAUUAUUUGUGUACUUGACACGCGCGAUAAUGACCCACAAUUAAUGAGUCACCAUCACCUCUCAAAUUGAAGUUGGCCCCAUUACAGAUCUAGGAAAGAAGAACCUUACUUCUCUCCACCCAACUCCCAAAAAUACUUAAAACUUUAUAAAAAUUAGGAUUCGGAUGUUAUAAUUGCUUUUUGUUGCCUUCUUCGAAAUAGCUUGCCCUUGUCGACGUGCCGUAUCCACGAAAAAUCUGUAUGAUUUAUCACCGCAUGUUUUUCAGGUGCGUCGGGCGGGAUGGAGCUUGAUGCAAAGUGAGGAAUCCACAAAAGAAAUAAAUAAGAGAUAAAAUCUCAAAAUAUAAGCUGGUUUAUUAAUUCAUGCAACUUCAAUUUUAGUACCCUUUUUUUUUUGGCAUGCAUGUGCUCUGCUCUAAAACUCUCCAAAAUAGCACAAGGCUCAAGUCACGCAAAAGUCCUAAGAUAUGCGCACAACCCACUGCGAACAGAAAUAACAGCUUAACGAGUUGAACAUAUAAAAUUCUAAAAAGAUUCUAAAGAAAAGUGAAGGAUAAUACAACAUAUGCAUCUUGCAGUUGCAUUGAGUUUUGCACAGCAUUAUACAAACUCUGAACUUUGCAACGCCUUGUACAAACUCCGAACUGUGUUGCACAAGUAAAAUUUUUAGGCGUACACAGAUACUGCACAGAGUUGCACAAUUGUUCCACAAAGUUGCAUUAGUUUAUCGCUGUAUUUGUACAAGUACUCUAAACUAGGGGUAUCAACGAGUCAAACACAUGCUGACUCGUAAAAAUAUUGAGUCAAAAAAUUUAGCUCGUAUUAGGCUCAUUUAUUAAUGAGCCAAAGCCGAGAUUGCUUACAAAAGUUAAAAAAAUUAAAAAGAAUAUAUAUAUAGAAAAUAAAAUUUUUAGAUCUUACCUAUUAAAUUUUGACGUAAUUCUUAAAAUUUUAUAUAUAAAUGAGCUUUUUCAUAAUUGAGUUGUGAUUUAGGUUAGACUAAAAAUCAAAUAAUAAAAAUUUAUAUUAUCUAUAUAUAAUUAUGUAUUAUUUAUAUAUAUAAAUAUAAAAUAUAUGUAUUUGAGCUAUUAACGGGCCGAACGCAAGCGAGCUGAUCCAGCUCAUAUUCGGCCCAUUUAUUAAACGAGCUGAAAAAUUCAACUUAUAUUCGGCUCGUUUACUAAACAAGCUAUUCGAUAUCAAGCUCAUUUCGAGCGAACACAAACUGGCUCGCAAACAACGAGCUGAAUUUCCACCCCUAACCCAAUCUGCUAUGGCGUCACCCCCUCCGAAGCAGCACAAACUUCUCAAGGAAGGAAGGUAUAAUAAACCGUUCCUCACUUCUUUAAUAUUAGUACAUUAUAUUACACUAUCUAUUACCAUAAAACUUCAAGCUACCCCACAACAUCAUAAUGGAUUUGAAAGUAAAUUUCAAACUAGGAAGAUUAUUCUUAUUUUUAAAUUGUGCGUAAUUAAAUCUCACAUCCAACCAAUCCAAAAGUUUAGCGAACUCUUUUAAAUUUUUAAUAUUAAUAAAACUAAAAAGUGAUGAGACUCAAGUGCAUGAAAAAAGAGCUUUUGGAUGAAGAAUAUAUAAAAUUUAUACCCACUUUUAGGUGUAACCAUUGCUCUUUCAUUUUUGUCCGCAUACCGAAUAAAAUACAAUUCAAGCAAAAUAACUAAUCAUACUAUCUAAAAAAUAUAUACAUGUCAAAAUAAUAACUACUAUUAUUAAAAAUUAAUGAUAAUAAUAAUUAUAUUAUAUAUAUAUAGAGAGAGAGAGAAUAGGGCUACUGUGCUCUUAGUAGUACGGAGGCCUCCAUAGUCCUAAACCAUUUUUCAUCAUAAAAUUUUCGGAUUGACUAUCGACUCCGUUAGACUUGAUCCAAUGUGUUUGAAGUACAUCGAAAAUAAAUUUUAUCAUUUUUUUGAUAUCAUAAACCUAGUGAUCAAAAAAUGUUCAAAAUUAAUGACUGAAAAUAAAAUCUCAAAGAAAUUAAUGAUAUAACAUUAAAAUUUUCGAUCAGAGAUAUUCAUCUUGUUGAAAAUCGUAUAAAAAUUUUAUAUCAAAAUCUCAUCUGAUUUGAAUACUUCUACAUCGUUAAACUUGAAAACGACAUACAUCAACCAUUAAAUAUUAUUAAUUUUGAACCCUUUCGAUCUCUAGGUAUGUAAAUAAUAUCGAAAAAUCAUAAAUUUUAUUUUAUAGAUUUUUCAAAUACAUUAGAUUAAGUCUAAAUAAGUUGAUCGUCGACUCGAAAGUUUUAUCAUCGAAAAUGAUUUAGGAGUACAGCACUCUUACUCUCUCUCUCUCUAUAUAUAUAGAAUUAUGCUACUAUAUAUACUAUCGAUCAUAUCAAGGCUUGAUAGUAUUGAGUUUUUGGCCGUUGGAUGAAAGAAUGUGCGGUUAGGAUAAUAGUGGUCUAUAUAUAGAAUUAUGCUACUAUACUAUCGUACCAUACGUUUAGUACUAUCGAGUUUUCAACCGUUGGAUAAAAAGAUAUACGAUUAUAAUGAUAAUAGUCCCCUAGAGUUGAGUGGGUGGUUGGUUGAAUAGUAUAGUCUAACGUAUAAAAAUGAUUAAAGAAUAAAUUGAACAGCAGAGAAUUUGAUAGUAUCAAAAGUUUAAUAUUAUCGAUAGUAUAGUAACACAAUUUUCCCUCCCCUCUCUCUCUCUCUCUCUCUCUCUCAUCUUCUCUUCAUCUCCGUCCUCACUCUCUCUCUCUCCUCUCGCCCCUUCUCUCACCUCCCUAUAAUAUAUAAUAGUAUAUUAUAUAGUAUAUAUUAUAUUUAUAUAUAAAAUUGAGGUUCUAUGCUUUUAAAAGUACCAAAGUUAUUGCGUGCUUUAUAGAUUUUUGGCCAUUGGAUUAAGGAUGAGCCUCGUGGUUAGGAUGACGUGGGCCUCGCUAGGGUUGAUGUGGGUGGUUGGCUUGAAAUAGUAUAAAUGUAAGCGAUUUGAUAAAUGAUCAAAGGAUAAAUCUAACGGUUAAAAAUUUUACAAGCGCAAAGUGUUGAGUGCUUUUAGCAAGCCACCGUAGCGCGAGUUCUAUAUAUUAUAUAUAUAUAGAGGAGAGAUGAGACGAGAGAGAGAGAGGAGAGAGAGAGAGUUGAAGGUAGAUACUAUCUGAUAGCAAACGAGGCUUUCAUUGCCAUCAUGUUGUUUUCGAUGAUAUGAGCUCCAAAUCGACGAUCGUACCGUUGAACAUGAUUCUAUUUACCACUGAGUGUUAGAAUCAAAUUCAAAUCUUUUUCGACAUCAUUUAUGCCCUAAUGAUUCAAAGGGUUUCAAAAUUUAUAAUUUUAAGGCAUAAUAUGAGACGUUUCUCGUUUACAGAUAAAAGAUAUCCCAAAUCAAAUUAAUUUUGUUAGAAAAUUCUUUAAAUUGUUUAAAAAAGUAUCUAUACUCUUAUCUUAACUACAGCUCCUUAUCAUCAUUUUUAAAAAUAUUUAUUUUCAGCCGGUCAUUUUUGUGUCACUCGAUGAUAAGAGAAGCAAUAUCGUAAAUAUAUAAAAUUUGAUUUCUAAAUAAUUUCAAGUGGUAUAGAUCAUAUUCAACGGCUGCCGCGAUUAUUGAUUGAAGACUCCAUCAUUGAAAACAAUAUGAAGUGGCAACAGACGCGUUUGCUACGCGGAUAGUAUUUAGCUCAACUAUAUAUAUUACUAUAUAUAUAUUAUAUAUAUUAUAUAUAAUAUUAUAUAUACUAUAAUAUAUAUAUAUAUAUAUUAUAGAAAAUUAGCUGGACAAUAACUAUUAUAGUGAAAAGCUUGCUUUUUGGCUAUCACAGUUUUUAACCUCUUGAUGAAAAUUCUAAAGUCAGGAUUGAUAUUAGUCGUUAGGUUGAGGUGGUCCCCACUGGGUUAUAGUAUUUAAAUCCAAUGGUUAGAAAUAAUGAAAAGAUUGCAUCCAAAGGCUUAAAACUGUAGAACAUGGAAUUUUGCCUACUAAUAGUGCCCAUUCCAGACACUCUUAAUAUAUUAUAUAUAUAUAUAUAUAUAUAUACUAUAUAUUAUUAUAUAUAUAUAUAUAUAUAUAGAGAGGACGAAGACGACGAGAUCAUGAGAGAUGAGCACAGCUCGACCGUCCAGGCCCGAUUCUUCCACGGCCCCAUCUGUUCUGUCUUCUGCUCAGCUUCGUUCCUCAUCCUCGGCUCCUAGCGCGAAGACCACUUCGGAUCUGCCGCUCGAUUGACAUAGAGCCGCGUCGUCCUCGGGGCCUCCUCGUCUGCGUAUCGGGGGCCCUACUUUUCGCCCUUCGAGACCGGAGAGAGAGAGAGAGAGAGAGAGAGUUUGACUGGGCUACUAUUGGUAGUAAACUGCUCGGUUUACUACCGAUUUGUUUUUGAUGAUAGAGCUUCCAAAUCGACGAUCGGCACCGUUGAACAUGAUCUAGACCAUUUAAAUUAUCUAGAAAUCAAAUUUCAUAAUUUUUUGGCAUCACUAACUGAACGAUCAAAGGGUCACAAAAUCUAUAAUUUUAAUAGCUGAUAUGGUGCGUUUGCUCGUUUCACGGUAUAGAAAAAUUCAAAUAAACUAAAUUUUUGUGAAAAAAUUCUUUAAACUAUUUAAAAUAAGAUCUAGACUCUAGAUCUCAAAUAUAAAAAUUGUAUCAUCACUUUUUGAAGGAUAUUCAUUUCCAGCCAUUAAUUUAUCUGUUCACUUGAUGGACAAGAGAACAAUAUCGAAAAUUAUUGAAAUUUGAUUUCUAGAUAAUUUAAAUGGUCUAGAUCAUGUUCAACAGUGCCGAUCGUCGAUUUAGAAGCUCUAUCAUCAAAAACAAAUCGGUAGUAAACCGAGCAGUUUACUACCGAUAGUAGCCCAGUCAAACUCUCUCUCUCUCUCUCUCUCUCUCUCUCUCUCUCUCUCUCUCUCUCUAUAUUUAUAUAUAUAUAUAUAUAUAGUCCGGCUAUGGUGCUUGUAAAAGCACAAAACACUUAGUGCUUGUAAAUUUUUUAUCAUUAGAUCUCUCCCUUUAAUCAUUUUUAUCCAUUGGAUUAUACUAUUCAACCAACCGCCCACUCAACCCUAGAGAUCUCACAUCAUCCUAACCGCACAUCCCUUAAUCCAAGGGCCGAAAAAUUAACAACCACCAAUGACUUAAUACUUUUGAAAGCAUAGGAGCUCAAUUCUAUAUAUAUAUAUAUAAAGAAUUAAGCUCCUAUACUUUUAAAAGUAACAAGUUAUUGGUGCUUGUAAAUUUUUAGCCAUUGGAUCAAGAGAUAUGCGGUUAGGAUGAUGUGAACCCCCUAGGGUUGAGUGGGUGGUUGAUCGAAUAGUAUAAUCUAAUGGUUGAAAAUGAUCUGAAAAAUAGAUCUAACGGUAAAAAACUUACAAGUACCAAAUGCUUGGUACUUUUACAAGCACCAUAGCUGGACUAUAUAUAUAUAUAUAUAUAUAUAUAGGCAGGAGAGAGCGGAGAGAGAGAGAGAGAGAGAUGAGAUGAGACAGACGAGAGAGAGAGAGAGCGAGCGGCCUAGGAAUGUUAUGGAAGCACGGAGGGCUCGCGUGCUUCCACUGUUUUCGAUAGUUUGGACUUUCGAAUCGACGAUCGGCUUCGAUUAGACCUGAUCUAGAGUAUUUGAAGUACCUAGAAAUAAUUUUUGCGAUUUUUCCGAUAUCAUUUGCCUAGUGAUCGAAGUGGCUCAAAAAAUAAAAAUCUUACAAAAUAGUGAUGAUAUGACAUUAAAUUUUUAGAUCAACAGUUAUUGAUCUUAGUUUUAUAUGGUAUAAAGAAUUUUUCUAUCAAAAUUUCAUGCGAUUUGGAUAUUUCUACACCGUUAAACUUGCAACCGGCUUACCACGGCCAUAAAAUUAUUGAUUUGAACCCUCGAUCACUAGGCACAAUGAUAUUGAAAAAUCACAAAAUUUAUUUUCUAGAUACUUCAAAUAUCUAGAUCAACUCUAACGGAGCCGAUCAUCAAUUCGAAAGUCGAACAUCGGGAAACAACUUAAAAGCACGGAGGGCUCGUGCUUCUAUAAACAUACCAGCCCAUAUUAUAAUAUAUAUAUAUAUAUAUAUAUAUAUAUAUAUAUAUAUAUAUUAUAUAUAUUAUAUAUAGAGGGUGGAAUACUAUAAUAGUAAAAACACUUUUUUUACUAUCAAGUUUUUAACCUUGGAUAAAAAUUGUACGGUCAGGAUGAUAUUAUGUCGCGUUAGAGUUAAUGGUCCCCCUAGGGUUGAGUGGUCUCUACGGGGUAUAGAUUUAUAUCCAAUGGUCAGAAAUAAUGAAAGAGUUGAUCCAAUGGCUAAAAACUGCUAGCAACAUAGAAUUUGUACUAAUGUAUCCCAGUUCACUCCUCUCUCUCUCUCCUCCGUCUCUCGUCUCUCUCUCUCUGAUAUAUAAUAAUAUAUAUAUAUAUAUAUAUAUAUUUUCUUAUGCUUUCCCAGCAUCAAUUUCGAGGAAAGGAACAUCACGAAGCAACUACCGGGCCGUUCACAGAACGACUGGCAGGUUGUACUAGAACGAGUGGGUGCCACUACCGCAUGCCAUGUGACUGCACCAAUGACGCGAUUAUUCCCGAUUGCGACGCCUCAUUUUGGUGGAUUCAGAUCUACAGCCCCCACCUCACUUGCAUUAUUGGCAUCUUAAUUAAUUUAUCUCCCCAGCUUAAAUCUAAGGAAAAAAAAAAAAGAAUCUCCCAAAAAAAAGAAUCUAAGAUAUAGUAUUCGUGAUGUCAAGUUUGAAGAAGCCUCGUUAUUUCACAUUUUCAACUAUAUUUAUUUAUUAAAAUUAUGAACUUAGCAUACCAUCUUUUUCUCUUAAAUAAAAAAUUAUUUUUUUGAUUCACAGUCUCUAAUUAGUUUCGAAUGCCUUUUAUUUGACUAAUUAUUGAAACAGUGAUUUUCGAUGCAUUGAUUUUGUUCGGAGAGUUGCUGUUAAGCGAAAACUUGUAAAAUAUUUGGCUGAUGAAUCUGAUAGAAAAAUAAAUUUUGCUUAAAAUAAUUUUGUCUAGACGUUUGAGAAACUCUUCUUUUGUUGUUUUCACAUAAUAAUUUUUUGUGUCGAAUUUUAUUUUAUUUUAUUUUUAAAAUUAUAACUUAAAGUCUAAAUUUAGAUCUAAAUUAAAAUUAGCAGGGAUAAUAAACAAGCCCUGAUGUUUAACAUAAGUAGCACCAAAUUAAUUAGCACACACCUCAUGGCGAUUCCUUCUUUGGUUUUUUUUUUUUUUUUUUUUUGAUUAGUCUAUUAUUGAGCUCUACGUUUUCUUAGGCCUGUUUGGUUUGUGUGUAAAUCUUUUUGCUAUAAUUUUUUUUAUUUUUAGAAUAACUUGUUAUUUUAGGAUAGUCACAAAUAAAAAUAAAACUAUGUUUGGUUUAUAAAACUGUUGUUCUCAGUAAUAACUAAAAAUUUUUUUUUUUUUUGAGAGAUAGGUAGCACGCUACCCGCUUCGUUUAUUUCAUUUAGAAAUAAACUUAGCUGGAAAUGUGAAUCAAUUAGGAUUCGAACUUGGGUCCUGGGUACCAACUAAAAUUAUGUUUGGUUAAUUUUGUAGAGGAGUAGAGAAAAGUAAAAAAUAUAUAUAAUUAUUAAAUUUUUAGAGCGCCAAGUUUGCCCUUCCCUUUUAUCUAAAAAAUAUGCUUAUACUUCGCAAAAAAAAGAUAUAAUUAAUAUAAUACUAUAUAAAGAAACAUUUGAACUAUAUAUACGUACCCAUCGUUUCCAUUAACCUAUUAUUAAUCAAGUAUCAUGCAUUUUUGAAGUUCUUUCCACACAAUUCAAAUCAUUCGUAUUUAAUUAGUAUUGGCUAAUACCAUCUCACUAAAUCUGGUUUCGUUAGAGGUUGCUUUUAUGUUGAAUGCGAGAUACCCAUUCUAAUUAAUAAAGCAUGUAUUUAGCAAUUAAUCUGUUAAAAUUCACUACUUUAUGUAUUUGAACUCUGAUGGAAUUACAAAUUUUCAUCAACUAUUAACGAUUUUUAGCCAAUAAAAUAAUUAACUAAAACAAAUUUGUAACUCAACUAAGAAAAAUAACUUACGUAAGCUUGAAGAGAAGGCCUUUAUUUUUAAUAUCCAAUUAAAAAUUUUUCACGUCACACACAAGCACAAGAACAAUUUUUUUGCAACUAUUAUUUUCAGAUAAAAUUAUCAUAUUAUUCUUUAUUAAACUCUUUACUAUCUUAUGUGGCGAAUAUAAUUAAUUUUAGAUAUAUCUAUAUGAUAUUGCUGCGCUAUAGAAAAGAUUUUUUAUAUUUUGUAGGUACUCUUUUGAGUUUCUCUAGUUGCAUUGCUUAGGUCUAAAGGUAACAAUUCCAAGAGUUCUUAAAUAUAUAGCAAGUUAUCCAACCAGCUACCCGCUUCGUUUAUUUUAUUAAUGUUAAAUAUAAAAAUGUUUAAACACCGUUAUCUAACAGCUUAAGCUUUUAGAGUACAACGGUUGUUUCACAUGGUAUCAGAGCAGGAGGUCCUGAGUUCGAGUCACGCCAGACUCCUAGCAUAUUAAUUUCCUCCCAUUUAAUUCAAGCCCACGUCAUGGGCUGAUUAAAAAGUUUCGAGCCCAGACGUGAGGGGGAGUGUUAAAUAUAAAAAUGUUUAAAUACCGUUAUCUAACAGCUUAAGCUUAAUAAACUUUAACUGAAAAUGUAAAUCAACUAGAAUUCGAACUUGGAAUCUCAGGUACCAAACAACAAACCCUUUACCACUUACGUACUCAAGAUCUUAUUCAAUGCCAUAAAUAUGCACAAUUAAACUUGACAAAUUUUCUACAACAAUAUAUAUACUCUAUAUUUAUAUAUUCUCACAAUAUGAUAAAUCACUUUAAUCUAUAGUUCAUGAAACGUCAAAAUUAAUUGUUAAGAUUUCAUAAUAGUCAAAAAUGUAUAUCUUCGGCUACACAUAAUAUCACCAUGCCAGUUCGAUAAGUUGCUCCCACAUCCAAAUUAAUCCUUAUGCUCUAUAUGGGAAGUAACAAUUAAGUUACUUAGCAUUUCGAGUGUGUUAUUUUCCAAUGCACAAUAAAUGGUAUAUAUUUCAAGCUUAAAAGGCCACAAGUGUAGCUAUCCAAUGUUACACAUAAUCUCCUCUCUUCUAAAGAAGAUGCCAAUUGAAGCCGCAGCAAAUUAAAGGAUAAGAAUGAGUAGAAACUAUAGAAAGAAGAAGACCACACGCCACAAAGUGUUUGAAUGCAACAAACUUAUACAAUAUAAAAACAUGUGAUGUUACGCAUAAAAACUUUAUGUUGAAUGCGACAGCCGAUAACUAGCUAGCUAUUUUCAUGUAAGUCUAAACUCAAAUGAAAGAUGCACUAAAGGCUUAAUUUGAGUAUAUAAUUUGUCACUGGUAGCAAAAGGAUAGAUUUGUAAGCCUUAUUAUUAGUAAUAUUCAUUGCUUGUAACAAAAGGGUGAAAUGUAUGAAUGCCUUUGACGAUUCCUAUGCUAUCCCCAUAAUGGACUUUUGUUUCUGAUCAUUAAAAGAAAUUAGACUUUUAAGCAAAAUGACAAGCUAAAUAAGCAAAUUAUUAUGAUAGAUCCAUAAAACAAAAAAUAAUUAGAUAUUUUUCUAUGUUAGGAGAUAUAAAUAUUUUUAUGAAAAGUAUAUAUAGCAAGUAGGAACUAUUGGGAGGAUAGCUAGGACAAGUACUAUAUAUCCAUAAAUUUUACCUUUAGCUAAGAUAGCAAGUUAAUUGUGACAUGAAAAAUGAAACGGAUCGCGUCCUAACAAUAUUUCGUCACAUAAUUUAUCAAAACUUACUAGCUUUCAAUUAGAUGUAUCAAUUAAAUCUUUUCUUUCUUCUUUUUUAGUGUGAAGUAAGAGGCCUAGUGCCCUUUGCAUCUCUCUCUCUCUCUCUCUCUCUCUCUCUCUCUCUCUUUAGAGUCAAGCAAACCUAUUUUCACAAGUUAAUGUCACAUAGUGCUUCCUCAAAAUUGGCCAAUCCUACCAAACAACAUUAAUGCAAGGGAUAAGAUUCCCAAUCCUUUUCCCAAAGUCCUGGGUCAGGUAUAGUGUGAUAGAUCAACAAGAUUUGGCAUGUAGUGAAUUCACAAAUUAAUUGAGAGGUGCCACAAAGGUGCAUGCAAUUUGCCCCCAUAACUUUCCUUUUGUCCUGAGACUUGUGGCACUGAACUACGUACUGAGACAUGUGGGACUCAACUAUUGAUCACUGGUGAUCAGUAACGAUCGAUUUGGUUUGAUGCUCUUCCAGUGCAAAGGUGUAAAAAUAAUAAUAAUAACAAAAGGAAAAAAAAUGAUUACUUACUAGUUUAAUUAUGUAACUAUUGGAGCUAGAAAUGGAAAAGAAAGGUUAAAGUUACAUGUAAAUUAAAUCAAGUAAUUACAGGAGCUAAUUCUUUGGUGUAACAUGACAGCAAAAAUGAACGAAAAUAAUAAAUGUUUGGAAAACAUAUUCAGAGCUAGGCAACAUUUUAUAUAUAUAUAUAUAUAUAUAGAGUUGAACACAGAUGUAGAAAUAGCUUGUUAGCAUAGCAUUACUCAUUGUGAGACAUUAAUUGUAUGUUUGAUUGAUCGGUAAGCUAUCGCACGAUUUGUCGUUUUUAGGGCCCAGAGUUAAUGAACGGAUUUAUAGAUAAUUUUGACUCGGAUCCAAAAAGCUAACGAGUUUGCAUCAAUGCAUAGAACAUAUAAUAAUAUCGGAUCCAUACUAAGCUAGUAAAAUUUCUAUUCAAAUAAAGUAAUAAUUACGUACAUGCAUUUAGGACACGUGCAAUAGUUUCAUAGGAUGUUUUGGUAUACACAAGUCUAAGAUUUGCCUUAACAUAAUUCUUUUCCUUCACUUUUCUUCCUUUUUGUCAAAGUAUGGGAUAAAAGUAUAUUAUUAUUAACGUGGGCCCUAAUAAGAGUUUAUUUAUUAAUAAUAAAAAAAAAUGUUCAAAUAAAUAAAGUGAAAGAGACAAUUAGGUGACCAAGGUUUCAACCAUUUGUUUUAACUUCUUGUUAAUUAAUAAGAUAAUGACAUCACAAGUAGCUAAGUUGUUAUGUCUCUCUCAAGCACACCUCGAUCAUUCGUGUGUUUUCAAAUAGUGGAAAAGGAAAUUAAUCAACUCCGAUAAUCAGAUAAAUAAUUUGAGUCUGAUUCAUUUUAUUAGGUUAGGAUCAAACCUAAUAAAAAUAUAAAAAUAUAAAAAUAUUUAAACAUCGUUUUUCAUUAACUUAAAACUUUUAGAAAAUGACGAUUGUUUUAUAUUAGUUAACAAAUACUUUACUAUUUACAUGAAGGAUUGAAAUAUACACUGCCAAUUAUGCUUUGGGGUUUCGUUGUGGCAUACUAUAUAUCCCAUGUAUUGACACUGAAUUUUUGUGAGAUAAUUCACUUUUAUAAUAUUUUCUUUCAUUCUUUGAGAAGUAAUACUGCAGCAAUUUUACUCUAUUACAUCAAUUUAAUUGCCUAGAAAUUAAUGAUUGCAAAAUAAAUUUUAUUACAAAAAUAUGUGCCAUUGUGAUAAUGCAAACCAUAUUGUUUANAUAUAUCACAAUAUUUAUACCAACCAUGCAAUGAUUCUUUUUUAUUGUAAAAAAUUAUUAUUGUUGCUACAGUAUUUAUUAUUGAGAAAGAAUUAAUUUCUAGCAGUGUUGGUGGAAAAGAAUUACCGGAACAUGACAUGUAUUUAGCAUUGAUUUUGUAUAACUUAACUAUUUUCUAGGUAUCGAUAAUAUCAGAAAUAUAAAAAAAAAAAUUUAUGUAAAUAUCUGUUUUAUUUUCUUUUCCGUCAUGAUUUUCAAAAAAUCUAGCCAUGAAAAUUUGAACUUACCAAUCAAAUAAUAUAAAACUAAAAAGAAUAACAAGAAACAUUUUGGUUUGAACUUGUGUUAAAUAUAAAACUAUAUGAACAUGUUCUCUAAUAGUUUAAAUUUUUAGAGUAUAUAUAACUAUUGUUUUACAUGUAAAAAUUAUUUCUACUUCAACUUGUUUAUUAAGAUGCAACUAUUUCCACAGUAAAUAGUUUUUUUUUUUUUCCUGUGAAACACAAUAAAUAGGCUACUGACACUACACAAUUAAGAGUACCUGAUCAGCUUCGAAUUAAUUAAUGCCAUAAUAAUUCAACUUGAUCCCAAAUAUUAAUGGGGUGCAAAUCCCAACCCUUAUUAUGUUGAGGAACUCAUAUUUUGGAUAUAUAUUGCUAUUCUGCACCCAAUAAAAAUAGCAGAGUUAGAAAAAUUAAUUUGGAGGAGAAUUGAGAGAAAUUGGGACUGACAUGUUAACCCCAACCCUUUUUUUUUUAUUUGAGAAAUAGGUAGCACGUUACCGCUUCGUUUAUUUUAUUUAAAAAUAAACUUAACUGGAGAUGUGAAUCAAUUAGGAUUCGAACUUAGGAUCACAAAUACCAACCACAAAAUCUUUUGCCAUUUGCUCUAGGGACGGUCAGUCGUGAAUCCCAACCCUCCCAUUCAACAAUGAGAAAAUACUGCAUGUUGUCAUGUUGCUGGUCUACUAAUAUUUUGCUUAUGCUUAACCUAUUUUUUAAUAAUAAUAUUAUAAAAUUAAAAUCUAAUCUAAUAAAUAUGAUCUAAACUACAUAAAAAAGUUAUGUAUAAAAGAUUAUAAAAUUUAAAAUUUUAUAACAUGGUUAUUGGCAAUUCCACAAGCUUUCCAUCAACAUUUAACCUUCGAGCGCACGACCACCCCUAACGCAAGUGGUAAAAGAUUUGAUGGUUGCUAUCCGAGGUCCCAAGUUCGAAUCCUAAUUGAUUCACUUUUCCAGCUAAUUAUUUAUUUCUAAAUAAACGAAGUGACUUGCAUACUACUUUUCUCUCAAAAAAAAAAUCCUUUUGUUACAUGGCACUUGGGACUUUCAAUACAAGAAAAAGCCCAACCGGCCGUCCCUAGAGUAAGUGGUAAAGGACUUGGUGGUUGGUAUCCGAGACCCAGGUUCAAAUUCUAGUUGAUUCACAUUUCCAGCUAAAUUUAUUUCUAAAUGAAAUAAACGAAGCAGCGGGUAGCGUGCUACUUAUCUCUCAAAAAAAAAAAAAGAAAAGAAAAAGCCCUUGUAAAGGGACUUAAUGGCAUCUCGUACACAACAUGCAAUCCGAUGCAAAUGGGUCUUAUAAAUAAAACAAAUAACCGAUGGUUGGUUCAGUUGAAAAGUACAAGGCUCGUCUCGUUGCAAAAGAUUUUGACCAAAAAGGAGUUAGAUUUUGUCAACAAAUAGCUUAUUAUUGGGCUUAAAAGAAUAAUUUAAAGUGUAAAAGGUUGAUGUUCAACCUAUUCUUGGGAUUUAACAGUGGGUUAUCAUGCACUUUGUUAACAAGAGGAUAAUUUUGAAUAUAUAUAAAACAAUUAAAAUAUGGCUUUUUAACGGGCUUAAGCUUUUGGCGCAAAUGGUUAUUUUUAAGCUUUUGGCAUUAAUGGUUAUUUUAUAUAGGACUAGAUUAAGAGGCCAAAUCCAACCAAACUAAGCAUUUUUAAAACUGAAGCUUUUAAAGUAAGUUUAUCUUCGCAGAUAAAGGCCAUCUAUUUUCUUGUAUAUACCACUUAAUUUAUUAUCUGUCCAAAUAUUAUUCAGAUUAAUUUCCUUUUCCAUAAUAAUCUGAAAAAGGUUUAGUUUGUGUUCGAGUUGUAUACUGCAUGCCAUCUUUGAGGAAACUUGCUUGCCUGAUGAGAGUUUUAAUGCUACACUCAAUAUAUAGAGCAGGUCUUGUGUGUUAUUAGGAGUACGAAAGCCUAUGUGUUCCUAAGCUAUUUUCGAUGAUGGAGCUUUCGAAUCGACGAUCAACUCCGUUAGACUUGAUCUAACGUAUUUGAAUUAUCUACAAAAUAAAUUUUGCAAUUAUUCGAUAUUAUUUACAUAGCGAUUAAAAGUAUUCAAAAUCAACGGCUGAAAAUAAAACUUUGAAAAAAGACAGUGAUAUAACACUAAAAUUUUCUAUCAGAAAUAUUGAUCUUACAAUAAAUAUCCAAAAAAUAUUAUCAAAAUUUUAUCUGAUUUGAAUACUUCUACACCAUUAAAUUUGUAAACGAUAUACAUCAAUCAUUAAAAUUUAUUAAUUUUUAAAACAUUUCGAUAUAUCGUUAGGUAAAUGAUAUCGAAAAAUCGCAAAAUUUAUUUUCUAGAUACUUUAAAUAUAUUAGAUCAAGUAUAAUUAGGGGUGUAAACGAGCCGAACACGAGCGAGCUGGGGUCGGCUCGUUAAAGUAUCGAGUCGAAAAAUUCAGCUCGUCUUUGGCUCGUUUAUUAACGAGCUGAACACGAGCUGGCUCACGAGCUAGCCAACGAAUAAUAAAUUAAAAAUGAUUAGAUUAAAUAUAUAUAAAAAAUAAAUUUAUCAAAUCUUAUUCAUUAGACUUUGAUCUAAUAGUUGAAAUCUUUACAUAUAAAUGAGUCUUUUUUUAUAAUUAAACUCGCAUUUAUAUUUUUAUUUUACUAAAAAUUAAUAUAAAAAUAUAUAUUAUAUAUAAUUUAUUUAUAUAUAAAAAUAUAAAUUAAAUAAUAUAUAAAUAUAAAUAUAUGUAUUCGAGCUGUUAUCGAGCCGAAACACGAGCGAGCUGACCCCAGCUCCGUUUUCGGCUGUUUAUUAAACGAGCUGAAAAUCCAGCUCGUAUUCGGCUCGUUUACUAAACGAGCGAGCCGAUCUCGAGCUCAUUUCAAGUGAACACGAGCUGGCUCGCGAACAGCGAGCUGGAUUGCCACCCCUAAGUAUAAUGGAGCCGAUCAUCGAUUCGUAAGUCCCAUCAUUGAAAACGACUUAAGAGCACAAAGGCCUCUAUGCUCCUAAAAGCACAGAAGACCUACUCUCCAAUAUAUAUAUAUAUAUAUAUAUAGAGAGAGAGAGAGAGAGAGAGAGAGAGAGGAGAGCUAGGCUGGAAUACUGUUGAUAACAAAAGGCUUUUUUUGCUAUCAAGUUUUUAACACUUAGAUGAGAAAUUAUAAAGUUAGGAUGAUAUUAGUCCUUUGGGGUUGAACGGUCCCCCUAAGGUUGAGUGAUCUCCAUUGGAUUAUAAUAUUUAAUCUAAUGGUUAGAAAUGAUGAAAGCAAUUAAUUCAAAGGCUAAAAUUUGAUAGCAAAAAAAGUCUUUUACUAUCAAUAGUGUUCUAGCCUAUAUAUAUAUAUAUAUAUAUAUAUAGAGAGAGAGAGAGAGAGAGAGAGAGAGAGAGAGAGAGAGAGAGAGAGUGAGCUAGAAUACUCUUAAAAGCAUCAAGGGAGUGGUGCUUUUCAGUUUUUAACUAUUGGAUGGAAAGAUGUAGGGUUGAGAUCAUGGUGGUAAGUGGAAUUGUGUUUGAUCCGAAAGUAGUUAUUAAUAAUUAAGGAGUAAAUCGAGCUAGAAACUUAAAAGCACUAAAGAAUUGGUGAUUCUAAAAAUAUUCUAGCUCAAUUCUAUAUAUGUAUAGAGUGAGAGAGAGAGUCCGGCUAUGAUGCUUAUAAAAGCAUCAAGUAUUUGGUGUUAUAAAUUUUUUACCAGAUCAAAAUAUAUAUAUAUAUAGAGAGAGAGAGAGAGAGAGAGAGAGAGAGAGAGAUAGUUAGUUUUUUUGUUAGUUUCAAUGCUUCACUCAAUAGAGUGAUAUGUACCUAACACUUGUGGCUCUUCACGUCUAAAUUUGCGUGUUGGAGAGGCUGUACAUAUACACUAUCCUUUUUUGGAGAAAGGUACAUAUACACUAUCCUGAUCUGCAAAGAUGGGAACUUUUUGAAGUUGUCCAAAGUGCUUCAGUUCAACCCAUCAAAUCGGAUUGACUUAAGACCCUUUAGACCUUUUCAGAUCAGUGAUUCGUUCAGUAAAUCUAUGAACCCACUGAAUUUUAUAAGAAUAGGCCGGAUUUUUUUCUAUUUUAUACUUUAAUAAUUAAAAAUAAUAAUAAUUUAGUGUUUAUGACAUCAUUUAUUGUGAAAAUAAUUUUACUUUUUGAGUGAAUGGUAGCACAACAGAUACUUUAUUUUUUUUUAAACUGAAAAUAUAAAACAACUAAGCUUCGAAUUUAGAAUCUCACAUAUCAAUCAUCAAGCUCAUUGCUUACGUUGGGGACGACAAAUUAUUAUAAAAAUAACUUUUUUAAUAAAAUAUUAUAAAAAUAAUUAAAAAUAAAGUUUUGAGAUGGUACGACGAAACAAAACACAUCAAUAAGAAAUCCACAACAAACGUGGUGGGCAAGGUGAAGGCACUCCAUAUUGCUUGAUCAUAGGGGAGGGGGGAUUAAUUGCUACUUAUAUAUAUAUAUAUAUAUAUAUAUAUAUAUAUAUAUAUAUAUAUAUAUAUAUAUAUAUAUAUAUAUAUAAAAGCUUUUUUCACUAUUAUAUCCAUUAAUUUUGCAUGUUUUACUUCAAUUUUAAUCGGGACCAUGUAUACUUUGUAGUGGAAGUAAUGGUAAUUUUUUUGUUAACAGAAAUUGCUUACUAUUCACCGUGAGAUGCGCUUUUGUAUUUUUCCGUAGCUGUCGAUGUUAGAUUUUAAAUGAAGGCCUGUGAAAAUAAAAUAUGUCGGCAUAUAGGACAAAACAUAAUUACACUACUGUAGAACCCAUAUCCCAAUCAAGAAGGAACUAUGUGGAACAAAGGUUUAUAAUUAAAACAUUAUUGAAUCGUGGGCGCUAAUUAUUAAUUCUAAAAUUUAAAUUAUUAAAAAAAUAUAAUUAAUAGUACUCAUGAAUUUUGAUUAUGAUUCGGCCCAUUCAGCCUAACGUAACUUCUAAUACGACUCAGCUAAUUCCGAUCUCCUGUCAUUUCGAACAUAACUCAUCUCAAACUGAUUUUUCAUCACAGGACAGAAUAAUAGCCCCCUUAAGCCAACAAUCCCAUUCCCCCACCCUCUUCCCGAGUAGGGCUAGAAUAUUUGUAAAAGUAUCAUGGGGGUGAUACUUGUGUGUUUUUAGUCCUUGGAUGGAGAGAUGUGAGGUUGAGAUGAUGGUGGUAGGUGGUGGUAGGUGGAAUAGUGUUUAAUCCAAGGGCUAUUAAUAAUCAAAAAGUAGAUCCAAUGGCUUAAAACCUAAUAGCACCAUGAUAGUGAUACUUGUAAAAGUAUCAUAGCUCAACUCCUCUCCUCUCCAGCACUUGUAUAAAUUUGCAGUAUGCGGGAAUUCAAUCCGUAAACUCUGGCUCUGAUAUCACAUGUCGAAUCGUUGACGCUAACUAUUAAUCCUAAAAACCAGAGCUGUUAGAAAGAUGCAAAUAAUUUCUUUAAAGCGUAUAAAUACAGCGCUUACGGAUUUUGAUUGUGAUUCAACUCAACCAGUCUCAUACUACUUCGAAUAUGACUUAGUCCAAUCCAACCUCUCGUCAUUUCGAACAUAACUCGUCUUAAUUUGACAUUCCGUCGUAAGGUAAAAUACUGAUUUUUUUAAACCAAUAAAUAUUAAUACUAUGAACCAAUUAGUACUCAUUAUUCUCUGCAUCUGUCAAAAAUGUAUUUUUGUUGUGGAAUAAUGUCAACAAUGUGAAACAAUUGAUUUCAUGUUUUAGAUUUGUUUAGUACUCUUUGAUGUACUCUAAUGUACUCUUCUUUUCCUGUGCAAUGGAAAUGGGAUCCAAUUCUCUCCUUUCCUGUGUAAUAGAAAUGGGAUCCAAUACUGUUUCCUUCAAGCCAAAAAAUAAUAGGUGUACUCUUCUCUUUCUUUUUAGUGAAAAUGAUGAGAUCCAACACUGUUUCCCUUCAAAAAAAUGGAAAGGGUAAUUAAUAUACUUAGAUUAUUUAAGAAUCAUGCAUUCUUUGUAAGAUCCAUAUGAUAGAUAUGUUGACAAAGGGCCAGCAUUCUACUCUAUGGCCGGAGGUCGAAUUGGAUCAAAUUAUAUUCGAAAUAAUAUGAGAUUGACUGAGCUGAAUCACCAAUCAAGAGGUAUUGUGUCUGCAUGUUUUAAAUAAAUUGAUUGUAUUUUUCUAACAGCUCAAAUUUUUUGAAAUUAAUAUUUAGCAUCAAUGAUGCAACAAGAUAAUACGGCGAUUUUUCUAUUCUUUUCCUUUCUUUUUUUCAUUUUUGAUCAAUCAUUAGUAUUCGAAAAGGCUAAAGAAUUAAAUUAUUUAAAUAAAUACUAGCAAAUUUCGAAUUUUCACUAUCUAAAACCCUCUUUAAUCAGAACCAACCCAACAAUAGUCAUAGCACUAGAGUAGAAUGGCUUAUUUGGAUUACAAAAUCUUCGUCAACAUAGACUCAACUAUUUCACUCUAAAUAUUUUCAUAGCUAAUUUCCAAAUUCAAUUUCCUAAUUAUCAAGCAUCUUAAUCUAGGAAUUAGAAUUCUUUGUAAUUAGAAAAUGCAAGCAAAGUACUUACAACAAAAUACAAGCCACUUGCAUUUUAAUUUCCUAUUUUUGUGUGUAUUCCAAACAAACAAUUUUCCCUUUCACUUAAGAAAACUGUGGGCCUGGUUCUCUCCUCAGCCCUUCUUUCUAAGCCCCUUCCACACUCAAACAACAUGUCAACAACCUCACUAUGUGAAAGAUGCCAUUGUGCUCACCUGGUCCACCAAAAACUGAUCUUCCAAACUAUCUUUUAAAUUUAUUAAAGCAAAAUUUCAUAAUAUUUGAGGUGGUAUAUGUGAAUUCAAGAGCCAAAAAGACUAUAUAUUAGGAUUAAAAAAACUUUUGGAUAUAUAUUUCUCACAUGUAAUAGAUUAAGAUCCUGUUUGGACGUUGAAAUUAUACAAUAUUUAAUAAUAACUUAUUCAAAAUAAUUUUUUUUUGUAUGAUUACAAGUAAGAGUGUGAUUUUUGUUUAUAUAAAUUAAUGGGAUAACGUAUUUCAUCCAUUCUAGAAUACGGCGAAAAAUAAAAAUAAAAAUGACAAAAUAUUUAAGUUAUAUGUAAAAACAAUAAAGUAUUAAAAUUAAAAAAAGUGAUAAACAACAAUAGGAUAACUGAUUUUUUAAAAAAAUUUGCGCCCUGACGCUCACCGGACAAAUUUACGUCUAACCUCUCUCCUAUUUUUGGAAAAAAAAAGAAAAAUCUAGAAUACAUUAGUUAUAUUGCUGAUGUUACAUCACCAACUAAUCAGAUUGUUUUUUUUUUAUUCAUCCCCCUAUCAUAACUAUUAAAAAAAAAUUUAUUAUAUUUUUUAUUUAAAAAAUAAUUCAUAUUUGAUAGAUGAUUUUGCGUGACUGGUAUCCAAUAGAAUCUCUCCAUUCCUUAAAAUGGCCCCCAUCCAACCCCAACUAAUGGACAGUUAUACACCUCCACCACACCACACCACUCUCCCCACUAAUUGGCUUCCCCACUCCGUACCCACAGAUAUUUCCCCCAAUAUAAACUACUCUAUCCCCCAUAAUAAUUCCACUCUUUCCCAUAUCACUAUUCCUGUGUGCUCUCUCUCUACUCUCUUUCUCUCUCUCUCUCUCCCCACUCCUCUUUUCCCUCCAAAAAAAGAAAAAAAGAAAAAAGAAAACCAUCAAUCUUUUAUUAGAAAACCAGGUGCUAUCCAUAAAGCCAUAUAACAUAAUCAUAUAUAUACAUAUAACAGGAAAAAGGAAAGGAAGGUAACAGAGAUUGUAUUUUAUUGAUGGCGACGCCAGCGGAGGAGGAAGACGAGAGGAAUCUGAUACUGGGGAAGUACGAGAUGGGGCGGGUGCUGGGGAAGGGCACGUUCGCGACGGUGUACCACGGCCGCGACCUCCGGUCGGGGGAGAGCGUCGCGAUCAAGGUGAUCGGCAAGGACCGGGUGCGGCGCGAGGAGGGCAUGAUGGACCAGAUCCGGCGCGAGAUCUCCGUCAUGCGCCUCGUCCGCCACCCCAACGUCGUCGAGCUCCGCGAGGUCAUGGCCACCAAGUCCCGCAUCUUCUUCGUCAUGGAGCUCGUCCGCGGAGGCGACCUCUUCGACCUCGUAUCCAAACACCGACGCGGCCUCCCCGAGGACCAGGCCCGCAGGUACGUUGAAUAAAUAAUCGUUUCUCUCUAAAAGCUUAAAUCGUUGAUAUUUUUAUUAUUAAUACUUUUCUGGGCACAAACUUUUAUUUGGAUAUCCUCAAAAUCCGUAAUAUAAUAUUAAAAUCUUUUUUGAGCUGAGCCGGUAAAGAACGGUAUUCUAAUAUUUUAUUUCAUAAACAGGUACUUCCAGCAGCUGAUUGCCGCCGUCGACUUCUGCCACAGCCGUGGGGUAUGCCACCGCGACCUGAAGCUCGAGAACUUGCUGUUGGAUGCCAGCAGUAACACCUUGAAGGUGUCCGACUUCGGGCUGUCGGCGCUCCCGGAGCAGCUGCGGCACGACGGGAUGCUGCACACGCAGUGCGGGACGCCGGCGUACGUCGCGCCGGAGCUGCUGAAGAAGAAGGGGUACGACGGCAUGCGCGCCGACAUGUGGUCCUGCGGCGUCAUCCUCUUCGUGCUGCUCUCCGGCUACCUUCCUUUCCAGCACGAGAACAUCAUGAAGAUGUAUAAUAAGAUCUGCCGGGCCAAGUACCAGCUCCCGCCGUGGGUCUCCGCCGACGCCGGCCGGCUCAUCGGACGGCUGCUCGUAAGCGACCCGGAGAAGCGGAUAUCGAUCGCGGAAAUGAUGCAGCUCCCUUGGUUCAAGAAGGGGCUCCCGCAGCCGAUAUCGUUGGGGCCAAGGAUGGCGGUGGCGGUGGCGGCGGAGGAGGAGGAGACCGGGGAUCGGGAAUUGGAUCCGGAUCCGGAUCCGGUGGCGGCGGUGAAUUCGCCGAGGUCGUACAACGCCUUUGAGCUGAUAUCGGCGAUGUCAUCGGGGUUCGACCUGUCGAGGAUGUUCGGGAGCGAAUUGCGGGCGGGGGGCACGGUGUUCACGGCGCGGUUGGCGGCGGGGAGGGUGAUGGAGAGGCUGGAGAAGGUGGGGAGGGCGCUGGGGUUCCGGGCGGAGAAGUCGGUGAAGGCGGGGUGGAGGGUGAGGAUGGAGCGGCCCGCGGUGGUCGAGUUCGGGAAGGACGCCGGCGACACCCUCGAGUUCGCCCGCUUCUGCGAGCACGACGUCCGGCCGGGGCUCAAGGAUAUCGUGUGGGCGUGGCAGGGCGACCCCCCGUCCCUGCCGACGGAGAGGCCAGCAAUCACUUGUACGACCGCUGACGAUGCCGCAGCAGUUGCCUAGAGCAGGCGUAGAUUUUCUGCAGCUCUGGUGUGCAAAAAAAACCUCUACAUGGAUCCUGAUCGCAUCAUCAUUUAUUAAUUCUGCGUACUGCACUGUAGAAAAUCUGAGCAAUUGAUAUGCAGGCAAAGUCAUUGACCGAGUAUUUCUAUGGGUUACACUUCCAUAUGUGGGUUUGUGUGACUCAGAGAUUGUACAUAGGUUUGUGUGAUUUUUGUUUGAUAUAUUACCUGUUUGUGUGGUAAUAUAUGAACAUAAUUUUGGGCCAGGGUGUACAUAGAGGCAAAGAGGAAGUCAAUUUUGUAUUUAUAUAUAUAUAUAUAUAUAUAUAUAGUUUAUCAAUUUGGGUAAAGUUUCCUAUAAUUUUAUUUGCUUUGAGAGAAUUGAUCUGAUAUUAGUUAGUACACUAGCCUAUUUCGAAAAAUAUGUAUGCUAAUAAAGUAAUGAACCCUAGUUGUGAUAAUUAUAUUUGGAACAAGAAGUACCUACAUGGCUACACAACAUGUUAGGAAAAUAUAGGACCAGUCCCACUGCAUUAAUUCUGUUUGUUUAUAGAUUGGUUGGGUGAUAGAAGGUGUGUUUAUUUUGAUCAAAGUCGGAGUUGAAGUGGCUGAAUUUCCCUAAUUGGAGAUCACUAGUGUUUCGACGGUAUUGCGGAGUUCAACUUUCAUGAGGCUUACACGGGCGACAAGUGCGAAUUCGUCUCAUGAUACAGUGAGUUUGCGUACAGUAUGAAAUCACAACACUAUGCUAGAGGAGCGCAAAGUCGAGCUCCAUCCUACUGCCGAAACCUGCUGAGUUCGACAGGGUGUGGUUCUGAGUUACCAAACAUAUCCUUAAUUUAAUGGGAGAUAUUAUUAUGAAGUUAUUAUCCUAGUUAGUUAAUUCGGAUUCGGCCAAAAUUCGGUACGGAUAUAAUUCGGAUAAAAUUCGUCUUUUAAUUUUUAAAUUCGUUAAAAAAUACGGUUAAAAAACGGAUUCGAUAAUUAUUCGGAUACGUGAUUUAUACGGAUAUUAUACGUUCACCAAUUAAAAAUUCGAAAUCAAAAAUUCGACUAUAUUUUAAAUAUAUAAUAAUUAAUAUAUUAUAUAUAUUAUUAUUAUAUUUUUUAUAUAUAAAUUAAAUAUAUUCAUAUAUUAAUAAUAAAUAUAUAUUAAUAAUAUAUAAGAUUUAUAUAUUUAAAAAUAUUAAUAAAUAAUUACAAAUUUAUAAAUAAAAUAUCAUAUAAAUAUUUCUAUAUAAAAAUAAAAAUAAAAAAUAUAUAUAUAAUAUAUAUAUAUAUAUAUAUAUAUAUAUAUAUAUAUAUAUAUAUAUAUAUAUAUAUAUAUAUAUAUAUAUAUAUAUAUAUAUAUAUAUAUAUAUAAAAGGGUGGUCCAAAGGUCCACUGUGGACCUCCCCUCAUGCGGUCCACGAGAUGAAAAUGGCCUCGUGGACCGCGCACACCAUCUAUGCCUCAUGAGCUCCGAUUUUUUUUCUGUUCAUCUUCUAUUUUUCCGCAGAGGCGAGACGGGAUCCGCAGCAUGCGUUGCUCCCGGCACCGGCGAGGGCGGCGGAGGAUGACGACGACGUGAGCGGCGACGAGACAGGAUCCGCAGCCGUGGCCCUUGCUGCCGGCGUCGGCGAGGGUGGCGGAGGACGACAAUGGCGCGAGCGGCGACGACGCGACCCUCGGCCAAUCGCCGAUUUUUUGGGUGAAUUAUUUGCGAAUUGCGAAUAAUUCACAAAUAAUUAUUUUUGAGAAAAAAAUCACGUUUUUUUCCUAAUUUUUCAGAAAAAUACGGGACGUCCCGUUUAAUUCGUGUUUUUAAAAGUACGCAAAUAAUUCGCGUAUUAAUCGCGAAUUAACUAACUAGGGUUAUUAUUGCAUACACACCUUAAAUUGGGCAAAAAUUGUAUGAACAUAGUGUCUAAAUUAACAUUUUUUGGGGACGCUCUGGAUGGGCGCCACGUGGCUUGCAGGCGUCCAUCUUACCGUCCUUUUUUUUUCUUAAAAAAAUGUGAUUUUUUUUUAGAGAGAGAAAGAAGUAGAGGAAGGAGAAUGGAUGGUGGGACGGACGCUUGCAAGCCACAUGACACCCUCCAGAGCAUCCCAAAAAUGCUAAUUUGAAUAUUAUGUCCAUAUAAUUUUUGCCCCCUUAAAUUGAAUAGCCAAACUAUCCUAGAUGGGUGUAGAGUUAAUGUGCAGACACAACAUCACUGUCAAAUAUUACAGCUAGAAAAUUAAGUACGCUAACUAUUUAUAUAUAUUUUUUUAUUUAUUUAAAUUGUUUUACUGUUUGUUUGAUUCCCUUAAAAAGAAUAAACACUAUAUGACAAAAUACUAUUUAAGCAGUAUAAUUAAUUAGGUAAUCACUAUUCAUAUUAACAUUUUCUGAAGAUUUUUAGGCUAUUUGCUAUAGUAGGAUCCCGAAGUCUCUUUUAAUAAACUUGCUCCUCAAAUAAGAUCUUAUUGAGACAGGUUGAUACAUGAAUCAUGUCAUUUUCGCUCUUUGAGCCUCCUUUAAAUUCGUCAUUUAAUACGUUGAAGAUAUUUGGACAAGAAAUUUUUAAACCAAAAUAUAUUUUUAAGAUUUGCGGGCAAAAUUAAUCGCUACCGCUGAGUAGCCUCCUCAAGGAAGUCACGCUUCUAUCUAAACUUGUUGUAGCUGAAAGCAAAAGCAGUAGAAUGGUCAAUUUUCAGCCCCGUUGAUAGGCUUUGAUCGGCAAUAGUGGUAAGGAUAUGUUGUCUUGAUUGUGAAGGUUCAAAAAUUGAUUGGUAUACACUUUAUAUUUUGAAAGCUUAAACACCGAGAGUAGGGACGAAAUCAGAAUUUAGGUUCAGAAAGGGAUAAAAAUACACUAUACGUUUGUCAUAAAGAAAAUUAUCAUAAAAUAUUACAAAAAAAAUUCAAAAGAAUUUGUUUGCCAACUUCAAAAGCAAAUAAGUCACAAAAUUUGUCGAUGGUUGAAUCAAUAGAUAACUUUUGAUAAUUUUUUUUUUCUUCUUUUCCACUACAUACGAUUAUAGAGAAGUUCUCGGUCUAUAAAUUUUAUAAGAAACAAUGUUAUAGAAUGCUCCUAAAAAAACUAAAAUUUAUAAUAUUCUAAUUUUUAUCAUGCCUAAUUAAUUAGAAAUUUAUAUGGCAAUUGUAGGCAAUAACAUGGCUCCGUUCCUCAGUCAUAAGUAGUAUCACUGAAGGGUUGCCUGAUUUUUCAAACAAAUGUGAAUAAAACAAAAAUUCCCCUUUUUUGCUUAUUUGAUUUUAUUAAAAUUAAUUUUUUAAUAAUUAUUUUGUAAAUUUUUAAAAAAAAUUAGUGUUUUUAUUUUUUUUAAUAAAAAACGAUAUUUCCAUAAAAUGUGAAAAAAGUAAAAAAAAAAAAAAAACACUUUUUCUUAAAACAAAUUAUAAUAAUAAUAUAUAGACAAAAAAAAUCAGUUUUUGGUAGGAAUGGCAUAUCAGCUCAUUGUUCACAAGUCAACUCGUGUUCGGCUUGAAAUGAGCUUGACAUUGAAUCGCUCGUUUAGUAUACGAGCCGAAUACAAGUUAGGGUCAGUUCCCUCGUGUCGAAUACAUAUAUUUUAUAUUUAUAUAAUAAUUUAUAUUAUAUAUAUAUAUAUAUAUAUAUAUUUUANUAUAUAUAUAAAAUACAUAUUUUUAUUAUUUGAUUUUUAAUCCAACAUAAAUAUAAAAUCCAACUCAAUUAUAAAAAGGUUCAUUUAUUUGUAAAAUUUCAUUCAUUCGAGUAAGAUUUCAUAAAAUUGUUUUUUUAUAUAUAUUCUUUCUAAUUUUUUUAAUAUAUUGUUCGUGAGUCAAAUCGUUUUCGACUCAUUAAUAAACAAGUCAAACAAAAGCUAAAUUUUUCAACUCGAUAUUUUAACGAUUCAGAUCGUGUUAACGAAACCUUGUUUUGAGAUGCAGUGUCACCAUAGUGUGUUACUAUUUAUGCCAAGUACGUAUCCUACAAAGCAAAACCAAUUCGUUGUGCGUAGACCUAACAAUCUCUUCCCGUAGUCGUGGAUUACCUAUAAAUUUGCAGGUAUGAGUAUCAGUUUUUUAAUCUAAAAUAUUAUAGAUAAAACGAGUGGAUACCAGUUGAGUGGUGGGUAUUUUGGGCAGCCCGCGGAUACCCACGGAUACCCGCAUAUAUAUUUUUAAAUUAAAAAAAUAUAAUUUUAUAAUAUUGAUUCAAUAAUGAUAAAAAUUUUAUUAAUUUUGAAUCAUAAAAAUUUGGGAUGAUGAAAUAUUUUUAUAUUAUGUAAUCUAUGUAUUUUUAAGAUGUUAUAUUGUUUAUUAUGUGUUAUAAUAUUUCAAAUAUGAAGUUACAUUAUAUUUUUAAAAAAUUUAUAUAUGUAUUUUGUAUUUAAAAAAUAUAAAAAUAAAAAUAAAAAAAAACCUUACGAGUAAUCAGUAUAUCCAUCCGUCCGCAUGUGAUUCGUAGGUAUAACGACCUGUUGGUCACCGAUUACUCAACCCGCCUAUUUGCCAGAUCUAACUUUGGAUGUGUCAUCACAUCAUGGUCAUGAAUGUGACAAUUUUAUUCAAGAUGCUUCAACCACGCCACCUUUAGUAGGAAUAUAAAAAUAAAUAUUUGGUAAAGGUGUGAGUUUGCAUAAACUGAAAUAUUUAAAGCGCAGGUGACAGGGAAUGGUGAUGUGAAAAGCGACCCACAGUUAAUUACCCAUUUCUAGUACAUCCUACUAUAUAUUUCUUCCUAUAUUAUUUUUUGAAGGAAAAACUUCAAAAAUUGUCUAUGUAGUUUCACACUUUUUUAUUUUAGUACUUUAUAAUUUAAAGUGUAUCAAGUUAGUACUUUAUAAUUUUUUACUUUAUUACUUUAGUACCAUGUGGUUUAAAAUAUAUCAAGUUAGUACCCUGUGGUUUUGCACUUUAUCACUUUAGUAUCCCGUGGUUUCAUACUUUAUCACUUUAGUACUCUAUGGUUUAAAAAAUCACAGAAUACUAACUUGAUACAAAAUUAAAACCACAGGAUACUAAAGUGAUAAAGUGCAAAACCACAGAGUACUAUCUUGAUACAUUUUAAACUAUAGGGUACUAAAGUGAUAAAGUGAGAAACCACAAGGUACUAACCUGAUACAUUUUAAACCACCGGGUACUAAAGUGAAAAAAAUUGAAACCACAAAAGGGUUUUUGAAUUUUUCCCUUUUUUGAAUUGUUUUUUAUUUUCUUAAUGUUUUCUUAAUACAAACAAUUAAAAAAUUAGUUUCGUAUUCGGUUUAUUUAUUAAUGAAUAGGGCAAGAGUCAGCUCAGAAAUAAAAAGUUAGAUUGUCAGCUCUACUAUUAAAUAAAAAAUUUUAAAAAAAGUAGAAUGUUAAUUUAAUAAUUAAAAUUCACAAAUUAUAGGUUUCUUUAUAUUUGGGUUAAUCUAGAAUCCACAUAGUAAAAAAUUAUCUCAUACGAGUUAUCUCAAAGCGAAUACAAACGAGCCGAUCCCAACUUGUUAAUGACCCAACUUAUAUGGUUAGGAUGAUAGUGACUUUUGGUUAAGAUGAUAGUGGUCCUCUUGAAUUGAGUGGGUGAUUAGUUGAAUAGUAUGAUCUAACAUGUGAAAAUGAUCAAAAGGUAGAUCUAACGGCGGAAAACUCGAUAGCACCAAGCGCUGCUAGUAUAAUAGCCAGACUUAUAUAUAGUAGGACUAUUGUAUUAUUAGAAGCAUAGUAAAUUUUGUGCCCCUAAAUUUUUAACCAUUUUUAGCCAUCCAUCUUGAGGUUACGGUAACCUCUUAUCUCAUAUUGGUAGCAAAUGAAAUUAGGGCCCAUUUGAUCACGCUUGCCAGGCUACAGGCUGCACAAGCCCGGGGCCAAACCUUUUUUUUUUUUUUUUUUUUUUUUUUUUUUUUUUUUUUUUUUUUUUGUUUUUUUUUUUUUU
RNAcentral lists this long non-coding RNA (49719 nucleotides) under Ananas comosus (pineapple). RNAcentral's name for it is "long non-coding RNA (ACOM_LNC002916)". Lineage: Eukaryota; Viridiplantae; Streptophyta; Magnoliopsida; Poales; Bromeliaceae. The record is from RNAcentral.